UUCAAGAAUGCCUGGUCUAGAGAUCGAAUUGCAUCAAAAACAAUAAAAGCUUCACUGCAAAUUGUGGCCCAAAUUCAUCAACUCGUCUGCCAUCAUGAUCGGAACAGCUGCUAUAUUUACACCCAAAUUAGAAUGGUAGUUGAAAGUCGGGGGGUGUUCAGUCUGAAAAAAGAAGGGCAUGGGCUGCUCGAAAAAAGCAGACUUAGAUGGACCCAGCAUUUACUCCUUAGUGAUGUACAAUCGCACCCAGGACAAAAAGAAUAGCACACUCACACAGAAAAUUCUAGGUCGACAUGAUCAUCUCAUCAACUUGCGGCUCUGCCCUCUUCAAGUACUUGAGCGAACUCCUCUAGAUACUUGUGUUGCAGCUCCACGUUGCCGAAUAUCUCCCUCAUGGCCCAUGCGUUUGCCCUCACCUCCUCUCCCUCCGGCUCCACCAUGACCCGCCUUAUCGUCUCGGCUACCGAGUCGCCUGUGAAGGACCCGUCUCGGUCAUUUCUUGGUACCUCUGACCCGACCCGCCUCUCGUCCAUCAGCCUUGCCACAAGUCCUUGGUCCGAGCUCCCGCCGGAAAACAGGAUUAGCGCCCGGCCCUGCCCGAGGGCCUCUAUGACUGAGCUCCACCCACAAUGCGUCAAGAGCCCGCCAACCGACGGGUGGGCCAGGAUGUCCAGCUGAGGAGCCCAACCCACCCAGACGAAGCCUCGACCCGACACCUGGCUUUCGAAGCUGGAAGGGAUACUGCCGGGACCAGCCUUUCGGCCUACCACCCAGACGAAGGGCAAACUUGACUUUUCAAUUCCACAUGCCAACUCGUGCAUGAACUCUUGACUCAGAGCUACCUCGGUGCCCAGGGCGAUGUAGAACACCGACUUCUCUUCCCUAUCAUCCAACCAUUGCUUUAGCUCACUCCACCUCCCAACUCCUUCGUGGCGGCUUUUAUUCUGGGGCGGCAAAAGCCCCAUCGGAACCACGGCUCUUCCGUAAAGCUUCUUAAGUAGACUCAAUGGCUCGGCCUCAAACUCGCUACAGGUUCUUGUGGCCACGAUUUCACAACCCUGUAUCAACCUGCCUAACCUUUCGAAAACCGACAUGUUAGCGUCAGAGUCCACGAAAUCCUCUUCGUUAAUCACCUCGUGAAGCCUAAACGCGACCUUAGUGGGGUAAGUAACCCACUGGGGAACGACCGUCAGGUCCUCUGCCGCCUUGGCUCGGGCCUGACCGUCCAUCAAAAUCGAUGGCGGGCCGCAGAAGACGAGGGUGGUAGCACUAAAUAUGCUGAAGAAUGCCGAUUUAACGCCCAGUCGUCUUGCCUUUUGGGGUAACCAGAAAGACAUGAAGUCUUGGAUCACCCAGUCGACGUCCGACUUCGCUAGGAACUCGGCAACAGCUGGCUCGAGCAUGUCGUAUGCCUUCUUAAGGUAAGGGACCAUGUUAUGCAGCAGCUCGGAGGUCGACUCGGCAGAGUCGGGGAGGCCAUGGACGCGAGGCAAAGGAAGCUCAACGAGGGUUAUCGAGGGAGGGAGGUUCGCGGGGAGCUUUUGGAGGUUUUUCGGGGUGGAGAUGAAGGAGACGCGAUGACCCUUUCGAGCUAAGAAGGUGGCGACCUCAAGGAAGGGCAUGAGAUGGCCGUAAGCGAGCCAUGGGAACAUCGCUACGUGAAGCUUCUUCUCUUCGUUUUCCAUGGUGGUGUCUAACUUUUCCUUUUAUUCGAUGGAUCUAGUACCGUGACUCUCUAUAUAUACAAGGACUGUCUGGAGGGACGGUGCAACAGCUGCCCAUUUAAAAUUCUUAUUGAUGCUGGCGUAAGCAAGAUCAUAUCUCAAUACGAUAACUUAUUUAACGGGACUACGAAAAUUUAUAUUAUGAACGUGAUUUGUUAAAUGAUAAGGCUUGAGAAUAUUGUAUUAUUGAUGUGUGCUUCUCAUGGACUAAGUGCAGCCCGGUGAUAGCAAGUCUCGUGGAAACCAUAUUUAGAAUAUUGUAUUUAUCGAUACGAAUUGAUCAACGACUAAUUACUAUAUAGCGACACUCUAAAGUCUUAUACUAAGUUCUACACAUUUACGGUACCUUUCAAAAGUAAUGGAGCCGUUGCAUAAUUCUCUUAAAUUGAUUUGCUGCCUUCCAUGAUCUUCGCGAAAUUGCACGGUCCAAUGAUAGUCAUACUUCCUAAUUCCAUUUCCUCAAUUCUCAAAGAGAAAUGAGUGGAUAACUGCGCCAUCAAUCUCUCAAGAGUGACUGACCAAAAAAAAAUCUCUCAAGAGUGAGGGAGGCGCAUCAACCACUCGUGUAAAGAUGAAAACUGGGUUACUUCUUUGACCAGUUUCCUCUUUCUAGGAUUGGAGCAAUAAUUAAGACAAAAUUAAUGAAAUUAAUUUUUUUCCCAUAGAUCACUAAAUUGAUUAAGAAAAGGGAGAAAGUUACAAAAAAAUCCAAAACUAUGCUUAUUAUAACACAUUUAUUCCAAACUUAUUUUUUGACACAGAAAAUCCCAGACAUUUUUUCUAUGACACAGAAAAUCAUAAAUUUAUAUCUGUGUGACACAUUUACUUCAAAAAAAUAAUAAAUUUUGAGGUAAAUGUGUCAUAUAAAUACUAAGUUUAGGGUUUUUGGUGUUGCGGAAAAAUAAUUUGGAAUAAAUGGGUCACAUGGGUAUAAGUUUAGGGUUAUAAAUGGGUAUCAUAGGCAUAAGUUUGGGGGGUUUUUGUGUAAAAAAAAAAAGUUUGGAUAAAUGUGUCACAUAUGUUUAAAUUUGGGAUUCUUGGGUCGCAAUUUUUUUUUUUUUUUGGAUAAAUAUGUCAAGUGGGCAUACUUUAUGAUUUGUUGUGACCGAUUCUUUUAAGGAAAAAAAAAUCUAGUGGAGUUUCUAUUCGCUCCUCAAAUUUGUCUUACCCUACUUAAAACUCAUAGAAGUCCAAAUUUAAAAAAUCACAAACUUAUUUUUCCACUUUGAUUUCUGACGUUACUUAAGGCUAUCUGUUUUAGUAAUAGCAACACCUAAUUUACGCAACUUAAAUCAUCAAUAAGUUCAGCUCCAACCAUAACAGUCCAACUUAAUACGAAAAUCCAAAUCAUUAUCUUGUGACUAGCCAAAAAUGAAAUUUAUUUAAAAAUUUAAAGUAUAUUGAGUUUGUUUAAUUAAGUUUGUUUUUUUCCUAUCUAUCUUUUUUUUUUUUGGGGGGGGGGGUAAAACUCUACAUUUUCAUGGUACUAGCCUACGUUUAAUUUAAUAUAGCUAAACUCGAUAAUUAUGUAUCAUGUCUAAGUUCAACAGAUGCUAGAAAGAGAUUCAUUGCGAUGUAUAAUUUUUUACUUGUUUGGUAUAAAUAUGAGUGGAUUACUAAUUUGACAUUCAUUGUAUACGUGUAAUAGCUGAAAAUGUUUGGCGAGGACGCCAUAAAAAAAAAAUUGAGCUUUCCAUUUUUAAGUACUUAUCCAAAGUGUUUUAAAAAAAUGUUCGCAGCAGUAAUUAUGUUUCCUUCUUUCUGGCGUCACCACCCGGUGGUGCUCAUUUCGCACCAAUAGGCGCACUCGUUUUGCUGUGGACAGAGAGAGGGAGAGAGAAAACAGUGACAGAUCGAUUUUGACCUUUGUAGUGAAGAAGCUGCUGUGUGAAAAUGGGCCAGGAGUUACCAAACGGGCUUGUAAUUUGGGCUAAACAAAUGACGGGCUGAUUAGGAACGAUGAGGCCCAAGUAAAUGGUGCUUGCUUUUGCAUGCCAAGGGUUCUCAUUAGUAAGGGUUCAUUAUUUGCCUGAUCAGCCUUUUAUUAUAACUUGAGUUUUGGAUGUAUAUUAAAUUUUCUAAGUGCAUUCGUUGCUUAAUUAUCAUCCACCAUUAAGGAUUUUGUAGUUCGCGUUUCAUACCAUUACGAUGUAGAAUGAAAAGCUUAUAUAUCUUGAUUAACAACGCACCAGAGACAAAGUUCAAGGAUCAACUUAAUCUUGAAUCCAAGAUGUCAAAGUUUGAAAUUAAAGUCUCGAUUGUAAUUUCGACACUUUUCUUUUUCUAGUGGUAAGUCUAAUGCAUGUAGUUUUUUUAAAUGCUUAAACAUUGAACCAUACAUUCAUCUAAUGCUUAUACUUUAAAAAUAAUUGGCAGUGAUCUCACCAAGUUACGGUGGUAUUUCUUAUUGUAUGUUAAAUUAACAUUCUUCAUGAUGUCAUAAUUAAGGUGUUAGAUAUUCAUUUAAACUUUCAAGAGUUUAAUUAAAGGUGAGUGUUUUAUUCCAAAUGCGAAAAAUCCUCUGUUUGCAUCACAACUUAAUUCACUUGGAUGAAUCUCAAGGAUCGGGACCAUUGCCCUAUGAAUGAAACCGUAUGUCGUUUUGUGGAUGAAGAGACUUGUAUGCAUACAUGAAAAAUUAAGAUAAGUGUAUUGAAAAUUCUAAAACUUAUUAUGAAAGUGUAAUUGAGUUUAAAAACUUUUAAAUAGUGCAAUUAAGUCUUAAAAUUUAUUAAAUUGAUUUAAUAAAGUCCUAAAACUUGUUAAGUUAGUAUACUCAAGUUCUUUCAUUAACUCCAUCCAACUUAAAAAGUGAAAAACAUUAAUAAAAUUUAGAAUUUUUUUUUGGUAAAAUUAAUAAAAUUUAGAAUUUAAUUGUAUCAAUUUGACAAAUUUUGAAACUGUUCAUCUGUUACACAUUUACCUUUUAACACUAGACAAGUUGGAUUAAAAAGGAAUAAAAAAGUAAACUUGCAUGAAGCCAUUCAAUUUGUAAAAGGAAAACAUCCUCAGAAAUCCCAUUUAUAGCAAGAUCAGAUCACAGUUCCCAAGAUGGGAUGGGCGGGAGUUGGCCAUUCAAUUUGUAAAAGGAAAAAAUCCUCGGAAAUCCCAUUUAUAGCAAGAUCAUAUCACAGUUCCCAAGAUGGGAUGGGUGAGAGUUAGCCAUUCAAUUUGUAAAAGGAAAAAAUCCUCGGAAAUCCUAUUUAUAGCAAGAUCAGAUCACAGAAAUCCCAAGGCUGAGAAUUACCGAGCAGUUGCCCACUUCUACCUGACGGUAGAACCUCGUCUUAAGGCGAAAAUAAAAGAAGUCCGCGAGAGUUUUGAAAAGACGGUCGGUUCCCUUUAACCCUUUUUUGGCUUUUUGGGAAUGUCAUACGUGGGAAGCACUUCGGCUACCUUAUCGCAAGGGUUUCGAUGAAAAAAAAGAUAAGAUUAGCAGAGAAUUCUAUAACAGAUGAUUUGUAGCAUCCGGAUGGUUCAAUUCCUUUUGAGGAAUUAAUGACCGCUGCGCACCUUAAACCGCUAGUUCUGCAGGAAGCAAAAAAACUUGCGCGAAGGACGUUUUCUUUUCUGCCUUCUCCUCUCCAAAGGCCAAGGAAGAGACUGCAUCCCUUUCCUUCGGUAGCUCUAUUUGUUUUCCAAGGAUAGCGGUAGCUGGGGCAAAGCCCGCUUUCUUCACUCCGCGAAUGAGAGAGGAUAAACUCAGAGGAAAAAACACGUUCUCUCUUUGGGCGGGAGUUAAUGCUAGCAAUAAUUACAUGAUUCUAGUACACAAAGACUUCAGUUGGUCCCAGCAGCCUACAAUGUGCCUAGGUUUCGGAUAACCACAUGACAGAUGAAUUUUAAUUCUAAAUGCCAGGCUGUUUCUGAAUUAUUAGUUUAUUGGACAUAUUAUCUGAAUUUCAAACUUAAUGUGCAAUUUAUUCACUAUGGUUCUAAACUUUAGUUUAGAAAUAAUCUCAAAUAUUAAGUCAAAAUUUGUGAAUCAUUUUUAUCAUUUUUCCUUUUCCGACUUAUACACUCUUGCGUCAAUGAUUUUUGUGAAUUUUGUGAAAAAGGAGAUAAGUUUCAAGUAGGGUAUGUAUAAUAUCAUUUUUUGUUGGUAAUUCAUACGGAUCAUUGAUAAUGUAGAAAUUGUAUAGAACCCCAUGCUCAACAUGCAUCUUAGAGAUUUGAUUAGCGAAGAAUCGAGGAUUGAGAAAAUAUUCUCCUCACUUAAAAACAGUCUUUGCAUUGUUUAAGAAAAUGUGAUAGCAAAAAAUAUUUCUGUUGCUAAUAGGAAAUGAUGAUGAUGCAUACAUUUUCUAUUCAGGGAUUGAAGAAUUACCUGAAUCCAUGGGCUCCCUUACAUCAUUAACUCAGUUGGACUUAUCUUGUUUGGGUAUUGAAAAAUUACUAGAAUCUAUUGGUUCUUUGAAGGAGCUCGUGACUCUUAAUGCCUUCGAUUGCGCAUCGUUAACUUGCAUACCCUGCUCAAUAGGCCAUCUAGUAUCUCUCCGGCGCUUGCUAUUACGGGAAUGCUGGUCAUUAAGAGAGGUUCCCGCUUCGAUCGGAAAGUUGGCAUCAUUUGUUGAGAUGGAUUUAAAAUCUACAGUGAUAAGAGAAUUACCUGAAAGCAUUGGUUCUUUGACGGAGCUUAAGACUCUUGAUACCUCUAGUUGUGCAUUGUUAGCUCACAUACUGAGCUCCAUAGUCCAUUUAGCAUCUUUGCGGCGCUUGCUAUUAGGGGGAUGCUGCUUGUUGCAAGAGAUCCCCAACUUGAUUAUACAGUUGGCAUCAUUGACCGUGCUUGAUUUAAAAUCUACAAAGAUUUUAGAAUUAUUUGAAUGCAUUGGUUCUCUAAAGGAACUUGAGACUCUUGAUGUCUUUAAUUGUGCAUUGUUAGCCCACAUACCUAGCUCCAUCGGCCUUUUUGCAUCUUUGACUCUCUUUGACCUAAGUAGAUGCAAUAACCUUGCUCAACUUCCAGACUCCAUAGGCUCCCUCGUGUCCUUACAACACUUGUUAUUACAAGGAUGCUACUUGUUGAGAGAGAUCCCUGACUCGAUUGGAAAUUUGACAUCAUUGAUUGUGCUGGAUUUGAAAUCUACAGCAAUUGUGGAAUUACUUGAAAGCAUUGGUUCUCUAAAGGAGCUCAAGACUUUAGAUGUCUCUUGUUGUGCGUCAUUAGCCUGCAUUCCUAGCUCCAUAGGCCAUUUAACGUCUCUGACUCUCCUUGACCUAAGAUUUUCUCUAAAACUUGCUCAACUUCUAGACUCCAUAGGCUCACUCAUGUCUCUACAUCGCUUGUUAUUAUGAGAAUGCCAAUUGUUGAAAGAGAUCCCCGACUCGAUUGGAAAGUUGGCAUCAUUGACCGCAUUGGAUUUAAAAUCUACAGCCCUUGUGGAAUUACCUAGAAGCAUCGAGAAUCUUCAAAAUUUGAGGAUCUUGGACAUUCGUGGAACUCAUGUAACAUUGCCUGAAACCUUCGAAAUCCUACAAAAUGUGGAAAUCUAAUACACUCAGGAACUAGGUGAAUUGCUUGCUUUUACUGAUUGCCUGAAUUGGUUCUUUUUUUUUAUAAUUGUUCUACAACAUUUAAACCGCAGUUCUCUCUUUUGACUGUUCUCAUAUGACUGCUCAAAAUAAUUUGAUGAUUUUUUUUUUUCAGGAAAAUAAUUUGAUGAUUAAAAUGUGGAGUAUUAAGGAAGCUUCUGGAGGCAAAGCACAAAACACAUAGGCAAAGGAGAGAGAGAGAGAGAUCAUACUACUGGUUUUAUGGCGCUCUUGAUCACCAGAAUUCGUCAGGUUCUUUCAAGUUUAUUUCAUAGGGUGUGAAUUUGAUUUGCUGCAAGGCUGUUGGAGUGAGUUCAUAGUUUCAUUGUCAUUUUAGAUUCUUGAUGAACUGUUUAUUUUUCGAGUUUGAUUCUAACAAGAUUCAUACCGUUUAUCCUGUCAUUGCGCAAUUAAUUCUUCUGCUCAUUAAUCAUUCCAAUGCUGGAAUUUUGUUGGUACGCCGAUGAGGAUUUUGCUCUAGGAGUCAACUCUCUGCCAUUUGUCAUCCAACACGAUUCUUCAUCCUCGGCAUGAUAUUGAGAGCCAGACUUUUAGAUUAAUUUUCUCUUUUGCAAGUUUUGUAUCUGAAGGUUGUUGCACUUGCUUGCAGGUCAUCUAUAACUGGCUUGUUUUGUUUAUAUGGCUGAGUUAAAUUCUCGUCUCUCGUUUGAUUCUUGUAAUGCCAGUUAUACGGGUUAGGUUAUACACGAAGUUGAUCCAGUGGAAAUUACUGGACGUUGAAAGAACAAGCGACUCUUCAAGAAUCCUUUGAGCAUUGUCUUCUCAGUUUUUUAAGGUGGAUGAUUGAAAUCCUCCUAUCUGGAAUGAUGUGAAUUUGCUUGCUUUUACUGAUUGCUUCACUUGGUUUUUCAUUGUUCUGCAAUAAAUAAGCUUCAAUUCUCUCUUGUCUGGUCUUAGAUGACUGCUCAAAAUAAUUUGACGAUUAGCAUGUGGAUUAUUAAGGAAAAGCUUCUAGAGGCAUAGCACAGGAACACAUGGGCUGGGGGGGGGGGGGGGGAGAGAGAGAUCAUACUGCUGGAUUUAUGGGGCUCUCGGUCACGAGAAUUCUUUAUUUAUUUAUUUAUUUUCCGAAUGAUCCCCAGAAUUCGUCAGGUUUUUUGAAGCUUAUUUCAUAGGGUGUGAAUUUGAUUUGCCGCAAGUCUGCAAGAGUGAGUUCGUAGUUUCAUUGUCUCUAUGCUGAGUUUGAUCCUAACAAGAUUCAUACCAUUUAUACUGUCAUUGCGCAAUUUAUUCGUCUGUCAUUAAUCGUUCCAAUGCUGGGAUUUUGUUGGUACGCCGAUGAGGAGUUUGUUCUGGCGAUGCUCUGUAUGCAAGUCUUAAACGGAGCAAACACCUGCUCAAAACUUCACUUUCCGUUUCCUCCCCGUUCAUCGCCACCACAUUCUCGUCCAGUUCCGCCAGGGGUGUACGAUCUCCACCUCCAAGGAACACAGCAUGGAGUCGAACUGAUCGCGCGUUGACUUGGUCAAUCAACAUCACAAGAGUCUACGGCUAUAAGAAUUGCUGUCCAAACAACAUAAGAAGGCCCAUAUGAACGGGAUAUGCGCUCGUAAAACGUUUUCUGGAAUUUGGAUUGAAGUGACUCCGGGCAUCACGUGGACCAAGAUGAAUCGAUUGGAUUUAGGCACGAGACUCUGGACGGCCCAAUGGACGGCGCGGCUCUUUCCUCUUCCUCCAUCGAAGCUGCCUAAGCCGUCACCUUUCACGGCCACCGCAAUGCAGUCUUUACCGGUGGAGCACCCCAGUAGCCGCCACCGGUGUUGCUCAUUUCGGCCCCAGUAGGCGCGCUCGCCUUGCUGAUAUAUAUAUAUAGAGAGAGAGAGAGAGAGAGAGAGAGAGAGAGAGGACAGUGAGGGCCUGCAUGUUUGUGUUUCUUUUUGUUGUUCAUGAACAAAUUUUCUGUUUUUUUGUUUCUGGGAACAAAAAAAGAACAGAAACGCGUUUGUUUGCGUUUUUGUUCAAAAUCUAACUUUUUAUUUCGGGAACAAAAUUAGAACAGAAAUAAGAAACAAAAAAAAGUUAUUUUUUUUUCCAGAAACACUUUUUGAAGAAUAAAAAGUUAUUUUUUUCUUCUUUUUUCUUUGGCCGGUUGCCGGCCCCCGGCGAGGCUCAGCCUCGCCGGUGCGGGGCGAGGCUCGGCCUCACCUUGGCUCGGGCGAGGCUCGGCCUCGUCGGGGGCCAACGAGCCUCGCCGUGGCUGGGUGAGGCUGUCGGCCCUCGUCGGCCGAUCACCAGCCAUGGCCGAGGCCGGCGACCGGCCAAAAGAAGAAAAAAAGAAAAAAGAAAGAAAAAAAGGAAAAAUAAAAUAAAAAUAUUAAAAAAUUAAAAGAAACAAAAAAAAAAUACAAAUUUACCAAACGUGUUUUUAUUCAUUUUUUAUUCAUGGAACAAGUUUACCAAACGUGUCUUUCUGGUAAAAAAUUAUUUCCCAGAACAGAAAUAGUUUUUUCUAUUUCUGUUCCCUGGAACACUUUUUGAAUAGAAACACAGACAAACGCGCCAUGAAUGGCCGAUUGACCUUUGUACUGAGUAAGCUGAUGUGUGAAAUGGGCCAGAAAUUACGAAACAGCCUUGUAAUUUGGGCUUAAUAAGCGACGGGCUGAUUAGAAACGCUAAGGCCCAAGUAAAUGGUCCUUGCUUUUACAUGCCAUUGCUAACAUUGCAUCCCAAUUUAUCUGAGUCGGAGGAAUCUUGGGGACUGGGGCGCCCACCCUGUGGACGAAACCGUGUCUUCAUGCAAACAUAUUUCAUUGAUUAAUUUUUCCGAGCGACAGAAACGAUUUUAUUCUACAAUUUUAUUUCUAAAUUAUGAUUUUUUUAAAGAAAAUUAUUUCCAAAUCAUAUGAAUUGUUGCAAAACAAAACAAGUUGAAUCUAAAUGAAUGAGCCCGUAAAACAUUCGAUUAAGAAAGAACUUAUGAUUGCGUUCGUAGCGGUGCUAGGAACUCACUCUCUUACAUGUCAUUUUUUUUGGAGAAAGAAAGAAGAAGGGAACGAAAAAACUCACUUUCCGGGAACGUGGAUUUUUCUAAGUCUUCAGAUCCAGCCAUUCUCUUGAUAAUGAUCUUGAUGUAACGCUUGCGCUAGAAAACGAAAUUAGUAUACUAAAACUGAUGCCAUGUAUCAUUGCUGGAUCCACGAUUGAUACGUGUUUGGCCACAUGCAUGCAUGAUGCCAACGUAGUACAAAUAAUCACACACCCAACUUGUAGGUUGACAAGUUCCUCAGCUUCAGGCUCUACCCUUUUCAAGUGCUCGAGCGAACUCCUCCAAAUAUUUCAAUUGCGACUCCACGUUACCAAAUAUCUCCCGCAUGGCCCAUGCGUUCGCCCUCACUUCCUCUCCAUUUGGCUCUACCAUGACCCACCUUAUCGUCUCGGCUACCGAGUCACUCGUGAACGACCCGUCCCGGCCGUCCCUUGGCACUUCCGACCCGACCCGCCUCUCGUCCAUUAGCCUUGCCAUCAGCCCUUGGUCGGAGGCCUUGCCCGAGUGCCUCUAUGACAGAGCUCCACCCGCAGUGCGUCAAGAACCCGCCGAUCGAUGGGUGGGCCAGGAUGUCGAGCUGAGGAACCCAGCCCACCCAGACGAGGCCUCGACCCGAGACCCGGCUUUCGAACCCAGAAGGGAUACUGCUGCUGGGGCCUGCCUUUCGGCUAUCACCCAGACGAAGGGCAAACCUGACUUUUCAAUCCCACAUGCCAACUCGUGCAUGAACUCUUGACUCAAAGCCACCUCGGUGCCGAGGGCGACAUAGAACACUGACUUCUCUUCCUUAUCAUCCAACCAUUGCUUGAGCUCGCCCCAUCUCCCGUCUCCUUCGUGGCGGCUUUUAUUCUGGGGCGGCAAAAGCCCCACCGGAACCACGGGUCUCGUGUAAAACUUCUUGAGUAGACUCAACGGCUUGGCCUCGAACUCGCUACAGGUCCUUAUGGCCACGAUAUCGCAGCCCUGUAUUGACCUGCCUAACCUUUCGAAAACUGACAUGUUAGAGUUAGAGUCCACGAAAUCCUCUUCGUUCAUCACCUCAUGAAGCCUGAACGCGACUUUAGUUGGGUAAGUAACCCACUGGGGAACGACCGUCAAGUCCUCUGCCGUCUUGGCUCGGGCCUGACCGUCAAUCAGAAGAGAUGGCGGGCCAAUGAAGGCGAGGCUGGUAGCGCUGAAUAUGCUGAAGAACGCCGAUUUAACACCGAGUUGUCUCGCCUUUUGGGGUAACCAGAAAGACAUGACGUCUUGGAUCACCCAGUUGACGUCCGAGUUCACAAGGAACUCGGCAACAGCUGGCUCGAGCAUGUCGUAUGCCUUCUUAAGGUAAGGGAACAUGUUAUGCGGCAGCUCGGAGGUCGACUCGGCAGAGUCGGGGAGGCCAUGGACCCGAGGCAAGGGAAGCUCAACGAGGGUUAUCGAGGGAGGGAGGUUCUGGGGGAGGUUCUGGAGGUUUUUCAAGGUGGAGAUGAAGGAGAUGCGAUGACCCUUUCGAGCUAAGAAGGUGGCGACCUCGAGGAAGGGCAUGAGGUGGCCGUAAGCGAGCCAUGGGAACAUCGCAACGUGGAGCUUCUCUUUUUCCAUGGUGGUUUGUGGAAGGAAGUCGAAGUGGAGAGAGAAAUUUUAAAAGAGAAACCAGCUGGCGAUGGAACGCGCACGUGCCUCUAAUCGGCGCACGUGCCGGGAGAGAAUGAGAUUAGUCUCCUUCGCUACACGUGCGAUUUUUUUUGCAAGGAAAUGGCAUUGUAACGUAAGAGCGAAUGUUUGUUAUACGCAAAAGAAGAAAGCAAAAGUCUUAGGCUCCCAUUUAUUUAGCCGAAAACUAAUUCUAAAAAAAUAUUUUCUAGAUUUUUUGAUAUUCAUUCCACGGAAAAUGAAUUGAUCAGGAAAAAUAUUUUCUAUUAAUGAAAAAAAGAUUUAUAAGAUAGGAAAAACAUUUUCCACUUUUCGAGUAGGGAAAACAUUUUCAAUCGGAAAACAUUUUCCACACUCACUCUCUCUUAUCUCACACUUCUGCUGGCUCCCUCUUCUUUCUUUGUUUUUUUUUUUCCCUUCUGUUUCAACCUGUUGCCGAACACUAUGACCGUCAGCAACCAACCAUAGGCUAGCUUGAGCUGGUUGCUUGCCAGAUUAGAGAGCGUGAGCCUCUGGUGAGGCUUGAGUACUCAAGCUCACCUUUGGCCGAUCAUCGAGUGUCAGCAUGGUUGGCAACUAACUGAAGGGGUUGGCGAUUGGUCCAAGAAGAAGGAGGUAAAGAAAAAAUAAAAGGAAAAAAAAUAAGUUAAGAAAAUUAAAAUUUUGAUUUUUCUUUCUAAAAUAAAGAAAAUUAUCUAAAGGAAUACACGGAGGAAAAUCAAAUCAAAUUUUUCAUACCAAGUAGUGAAAAAUAUUUUCCUAGUUCAUUUUCAAGUUUCAACCGAAUAUUAGAAAAUAUUGUCAUUUUUCUGAAAAAUGACUUCCAAAAAAAUAAUUUCCAAAAAUACUAUAUUUUUAAUAAAACGAACGGAGUUUAAGUCUUGAGUGACCGUAAAAAAUGGCUCAUUUCAUGAUAACUUGAAUGUCUUAAAAAUAAGAACUCACCUCCCUAGGAAAAUCGAUUGAUGUACUAACACAAGUAGUUCGAGAAUGCCUUGGUCUUUAGAUAUUUGAGUCGAACGGUUUCCACAUUUGUGCCUUUUCAAUAACAACUAUCCAUUUAGAAAUCGCCUCGAUGGAAGGCAGUUAAGGGCACAACAAGGUCUACGUCAAACCUUAUGUUUGGAAAAUAUACCAUAAAUACAUGAUGGGAUUGUGUUAGUAGAGUGUGCCCAUAAUAGCCAUUGAACCUCCGCGCGUUUCUAUUGCAUGCAAACUUGAAUAAUGGGUGGGGGUUAGAUUUAUUUUACGUCAUGUUUUCCACACACGAUUCUAAUUCAUACUUGAAUCCUGUUCUUCAAUGCAUGAUUAGAUUAGUUUGUUUUUGUCAUACACGGCCCAUAUCUAAUUGAUAGGACCCGGUGUUGCCCCUUAAUGGCAAUAAUAAUCGAGGAUGGCGUCUCAAAUGAGUUUGGCCCCAUUCUAGGACCACAAGUUCAAUGACUCAAGGCUCUGCCCCUUUCAAGUGCCCGAGUGUGCUCAUCCACAUACUCGAAUUGCAACUUCAUGUUGCCAAGUAUCUCCCUCACGGCCCAUGCACUCGUCCUCGGCUCCUCUGACCCCCCUAAUCGUACCGGCUACCAAGUCACUAGUGAGUGGCCCCUCUCAUUCAUCCAUUAGCACCUCUUAUUCGACCCGCAUCUCAUCCAUCAGUCUCGCCAUCAACCGUUGGUCUGAGCUCCCAUAGUAAACAAGAUCGGCGCCUGGCCCUCCCUGGGUGCCUCUACAACCAAGCUCCAACGCGACGAUGCGCCAAGAACCCGCUGAUCGACACCCAGACUUCCGGACCCAAAAGAGAUCAUGCCGGAGCAAGCCUUCUGCCCUACUCACCUGAACAGAGGGCAAACUUAAUUGCCCCAUUCCACUACCUGGCCAAGUUUGAGGAAACUGCGCAAUUGAUUUUUCAUUAAAAUCAGGACAUAAUCAGUCCCUUAUCAUCUUGGCAAGAAAGAACAUCAAGUUUUAGCUUGAGAAGUGAUUGGGUAACGGUUUUUAAUCUACUGUGAAAAUAACAGUUUAUUCUGCACCACAAAAAAUCAAAAUUCAAAUAAUUUUAUUCUUACGGUAGCACAAAAAGUGUUGAGCUAGCCAAUCUCUUUUAGCUUUACUCAUCUCCAGGAUUAUACAUAGUAAUUGAUCCAUAAUAUGCUAAGAGUGUGAGGGAGUCAGUAACACUAAAAUUGAAUUUCUUAUUUUCACGGCUUUACUUUUUUAUUGAUAGCAAGUCAUGGCAUAAGUGACUUCUUACUUUUCGUCUUUUAGUUUUUAGGGCUUUGUUAAUAUAACAAUUUUUGGUUAUUGUAAGAAUAAUAGUUAGUUAUGAGCCACAAAUUUUUAAAGGAGUGGGCUCCAUAUCAAUUUAUUAUUUAUUAUUUGAUUUUUUAAUCUAAAAUAGAUUGUUUUUCUCAAAGUAAAUUAAAGACUACCACUCGAUCAUUUUUCUAAUUUUGACUAAAAACUAGUAUUUUGAACCGUCCGAAGGGCUAUUCCACGAUUUGUCUUAUAGUUUUUUAGCGCUAACCAACUAGAGGGAAAUACACAAAACUUUAUAGGAUGAAUGUAUAAAUGGAUAACCAUAGUGAAAUAUCUACUUAUUGUACGAAGUCAUUUAUUUAAUUUCAAACCACACGAUUAUCUUGUCUUUUCCGUACGCGGGGGAACGCACACGGCCCCAUAUCCCAUGUGCUCCCAACUAAGCUAACAUGAUCUGAGGAGGGAGCUUCUCCAGAUAGAAGGUGGCGACAUCGAGGAAGGGCAUGAGGUGGCCGUAAGCAAGCCAUGGGAACAUCGGUACGUGAAGCUUCUUCUCUUCGUUUUCCAUGGCAGUGGCUGUGAACACUACUUUUUCAUUUGACGUGUGUGGUGGUGAUGUGACUAGCGAGUGAAUUCGAAUGCAAUGGAGAAUGAGCUCUCUCUUCAUAUAUAUAUAUAUAUAUAAAAGAACUACGUAUGGUGCUUUAAAAUUCUAAUUAAUAUUGGCAUAAAUUAACUUGCGUUUAGAUGUUUAUAACUUAUUACAUGAGACUAAAGACUCCAUUCGUUUUGUGAAAAAGGUUUUUCUGAAAAACAUUUUCUGGAUUUUUCGGUAUUUGUUUCAUGGAAAAAAAACUAUAUACAUAAUCCAACAUGCCAAUAUUUGAAUUUUUUUUUUAAGGCAAGAAAGGAGUUGAAUUAAUAACGAUAUGUGAUUUAUGCAAUAUUAGUAAAGUCAAAAGUAGAGGUGGCUGCAGCCAAGGUAGCUAAUAAUUAUCUUUGAGAUUUCAUAUCUUCUCUUCAUGUGCAUUGACUUAGAUGAUUCAAGGGAGAGAAGUAACUUCUUAUUCUGUUAAACUUUUGAUGUACCAAAACAAAUAUCACACGAGAUAAACUAUCAAGAAACAAUUUAUGACCAGCUGAAAAGAUUUAGGUACUUUACUUUCCAAUUGAGGAGGGAAUAUCAUUAAUAUAAAUUGAGUGUUAUAUUUCUGUUUAGAUAAACUAUCUAAGUCAAAUAGAGUGAAUUUAGAGUUUUUUCAUUCCUAAGCAUUUGGAUUUUAUGAAUGAAUGGUGGAUAUAACUAAUAUUAUAUAGUGCAUAAAUUUGUAUAAUUUUGUUAAAAAAUUUUAGGCCCUGUUUGAUAAUCGGCCAAGCAGUGACUAUUUCUAUUCUUUUGUUACUCUGAACAAAAAAGAAACAAAAAUUUGUUUGUUAAUGUCAGUUAAUUUUUUUGUUCUUCGGAAUAAAUUUAGAAUAGAAUCAAGAAAAAAAAAGUUGCUUCUUUAUUCUUAGAUACAAUUCGAGAAUCAAGUAAUUUUCUUUAUUUUCUUCCAUUUCUUUUAUUCUUUUCUUUUUCUUAUUCCUCCUCCGCAACGCGGUGGUCGGGCUCCCUUGAGGCUAGCGAGGUAAUUGAUUCUAGUUUGGCUGGAGAUAAGCUAAAGGAAGAAGAAGAGGAGGAAAAAAAGAAAAGAAAAAAAUUGAGAAAAUAUAAUAAAAUUAUUAAAAAAAUUAAAAAAAUUCUAGGUUACAAAAAAAUUGAGAAUUGUAUAAACGCAUUUUUAUUUCGAAAAUAAAAAUUUAUAAUUACUAAAGAAUUUCAAAUACUCAAAAAACUUAUCCUGGAAAUAGAAUAAAAAAAAUUUUGAGUAGAAAUUAUCCUCAUAAAUAGAAUAAUUACUAAAUAGGUCUUUAGUGGAACUUGAGGUGAAUCCGAUGAAUUUUGGAAAAAUUAAUUUACUUGAUCUAAUAAAGAAGCUCUAAUUUGAGGGCAGCGACGCGAGCUUGUUUAGCAACACGCAUUUGUUCAGUGUUAUCAGCCAUUGUUGCCCUAGAACGAGUACGGAUUGGCAAUCUUGGGUGAGCCAUGUUGUUACCUAUCAAUGUAAAAAAAUACAGUAAGCAUGAUAACAAAUGAGAUUGAUCCAUGACAACGGUCACUCGUUUAUUUUAUUAAGUGAAAUCAAAUUCCAAAGACAUCAACUUAAAACGUUAAAAUAACUCCCUAGGAAAUUAAAUUCCUAAAACAUCAAUCUAAGAAAUUGAAAUAACACCUUAAAGCCAGAACUAAACUCCUAAAUCUAGCGACUCUUUUCCAUAUACAAUUGGGAGAUCACAGUAGUUUGAAGCUUCUUGUUCUGCCAAACCAACUUUGAGAUUCGAGCCUCCUUCCUUUCCACCGUUUCUUCAAGACGUUCAAUUUGUGCUUUACGAGUGGGCUUCAUGGUCACUUCAGGUAUCACGGGAAGUAGAGCUUGAGGGAUCUCAUGAUGGUGGAUAUAAUAAUCCGAGGCAUGAAAAACCCUCUCUUUUCCUUUCAAUCUUCUAGGCACCACUAUUUUUUCCGGAUGGCAUUCCUUCCAUGCAUUUUCAAGACGCUCGAUCUCAUUGAGGUAUUUGUGAUCCUUGCGCACGAAGCGGGCUUGAAACAGAUCCACUCGGAGAGGAGGUGGGAUAUCUUGGAGUACUCGAUACUGGCGGGCCGCUCUAUAAGGAUAGAAAGAUGUUACACCAAUAAUUCCCAUAAGUGGAAUUGGAUUAUCUGUCUUGCAAGAGAAACGAGCCACGCUAACAUGGAACCAUUUAGCAUACCAUAGGAAGCUCAUGAGAUCUGGAUCUUUAAGAAAAGUCACCCAAUAGAAAAAUGAUUUUCUAGUAUACUUUUUCUCUAAGAUUGAAAAUCUCUUUAUUGGGUAACUAGAAUCAUCAAUUUCACCUCGAUGCAUGUGUCGCAACCUCUUUUUUUUCGGCGUCUGCAAUCGGGUACGGGCGCCUAAGGAGGCUAAUGGCUCGGCUGAAAUUAAUUAUGCCCGGACUCUCCCAAGUCCACCAAUUCACGACUUUAAUAGUUUGAGUUUUUAACCUGUAAAUCAAAUUUUAAAUUGGAGUCGCCACUAAUCGAUUUGGGGUGGGUUGAUUAGAAACCCAAGUGAAGUAUCGGGAGAAAUACUCACUCCUGCGCAACCAGAGAAAUUAGGAUCGGGGACUUGAUUACACUAGUUAAUCACUAAUGCCAUUUCGGUACCUAAUCUUGUUUAAAUCCUGAGGUUUUUUGGAUGUUCGAGGGGUUUUCCAUGCAUUUUUGGGAGGAAAAACAUUUUUUGAGUCAUUUUCUAAUUUUUUGGACACAAAAGGGAUUUUUUGGGGUUUUUUGGUAUUUUUUUUGGAAAAAUACAAGUCUUUUUGGUUUUUUCUGAAUUUUUUGGCUUUUUCAUGAAUUUUUGGCUUUUUUUUGGAUUUUUGGCAUUUUUUGGAAAAUAUGAAAUAUUUUUGAUAUUUUUGAUUUUUCGAAAAAUAAAUAUUUUUAAUAUAUUUUUUCGAUUUUUUUUUGGAAAUUAAAACAUUUUUCGGUUUUCUAGAAAUUAAAAUAUUUUUAAUAUUUUUUUAUAAAUAAAUUAUUUUUGAUUUUUUCUUUUUUAUUAAAAUAUUACAUAAUAUAAUAUAAAAAAAGCCAACCCGGUUUGGAUCCGCUGCUUGGGUCCGACCUGGGUCGGCCCAAAACGCAGACGGGCCUGCUACGCGGGCCUGACUUUUUUUUUUUUUUUUCAAAAACGACGUCGUGGCCGGGCGUUUGGGGACGCUCGGCCCGGCCCGACGACCUGGAUCCAUUGACCCGCUCUGCGACCCGGCUACCUGCGAACCCUACCCGACCCAGAUCCGAAUCGUGACCCGACUCCCGCCGCCCCUCGAAUCUCGCGAAACCCUACCCGGUUCCGAGACCCGGAUCCGACUCGGCGACCCGGAAAAAUCGCAAACCCUAGGGUUUGCGAAUCCGUGGCGCCGAGGGGGGGAACCGAGGUGCUUGGCGGCGACGGCGACUACGGCGGUGACGACGAAGACGAUGGGAACCACGACGACAGCGACGCCGACAGAAUGGGGGUGCGAUGGGCGGCAGGGACGGCAGCAACGGUUUUUACCUUUUCUCGAACGGAGGCGAUGACGGCGACGACAGGAGUUGAUCUGCGAUGGUGGCGGCCGCGGCGAGGGCAGACUGAUGGCGGCGACCGUGGCGGAUGACGACGGCGUCAGCGAGGCUUGGGCUCCGUCGAUUUGAUUGGGGCUCUCUCUCUCGGGCUCGGGCUCGCUCUUUGAGCUUUGGAGGAGAGGCAGCUCGAGGGGGACAGUAGCAGCAGAUGGCGUUGGGAUCUCAGUCGGGGCGAACAGCGGUGGCAUAGCGUCCGGCAGCAACAGCAACAGCUAAAAAAGACUAGAUCUGAGGCGCAGAUCUCGCGAAACCCUACCCUCGGCCUCAAUCUUCUCUCACUCAGGCCAGAUCCGAGCCUCCACCAGCCGGAUCUGACCUUCUCGAGGUCGCUUGCCGCCUGCCUUCCCCGAAGUCUCUCGGUGGAAGGUGGGCUGAGCUCGCGACUCGAGCUCUCUCCUGCGCUUGCCCUUCAACCCUUCCCGAUGUCUCUCAGUGAAGGAUCUCCGAGCUCGCCACGCCCUCCGACGAUGCUUGCGGCCACCUAUUUAUAGGCGAAGGAACUCCGGUCGACGGAGGGGCUCGGUCGCUGGCCUCCGGCUUGCCCACCGGUUCCGCUUGGCUGAACCGGUGUCCCAUCGAGCUUUCCAGCGAAGCUCGCUCACCAUUAAUGGCGCCUGCGAUCUUAUCCCCUCCGGCCAACGUCGGCCUACACUCCUCGGCCGUAGGCCGUCCUUCGCGUGUUGGCCUCCCUCGCGCGCGUGAGUUGCAGCGGCGAAGGAAAGGGAAGGAGGAAGAAGAAGAGAGAAAGGGGCCGGGCCGGGGGGUGAAGGAAAAUGGGCCGUAGGGGCCACGCGGAGGGAGAAGAGAAGGAGAAAAAGAUGGGCUGGGCUUUUGCUUUGCUUUUGUUUUGUUUAUUAUUAUUUACUAUCUGAAAAAGACAAAUAAAUGUAAAAAAAAAAAAACCUAAUUAAUUAAAAAUGAAAUUUAGGUGUCAACAGCAUGAAAUGACCAAACUCCUUCAUGUGAGAAAGAAACCAAAUUUGUAAAAGUUUAGGAGAGGCAUUCAUGAUUUUUUCUCCAUUUUGUUUAAAACGGUUGAUGGACAAAAAUGUCUCAGCCAAAAUCAUGUUUAUAAAGUUCAUGCCAGCGCAUGCUUGUCUGACCACCCGUGCAAUUGAAGGAUUAAUGGCAUUUUGUCGAUGAGGAAAGAUUAUAAAUCCAAAGAAUGCUAAGAUGAAUAUCCUACCCUUUGGCGCAUUGAAGAUUGAUUUAAAAAAUGAUCAGCCAAAAAGGAGAAUGGGCAUGCGUUACAAUUAGCUUUCAAAACUUUCUUAACCUCAUCAGUUUUAAUUCUUAGAAAUUGAGAUAAAAUCGAUGUGCGCUCCAUACCAAGAGGUGGCCUAACAAGUUCAGUCUCAAUGGGCAUUCCUAUGAUAACGCUAUACUCUUCCAGUGUUGGAGUUAGCUCAUUUUUACCAAAAAUAAAUGUAGCCGUCUCGAGACACCAAAAGUGUGAUAUAGUUUGCAAAACACCACUAUGGACUCCAAUAUCCAAAAGGGGGAUGAGCCGUCCCAGUAUCGACUCCACAUAAUCCUGACCUUCUUUACUUAAUUUGCCCUCUGAGCUCAAUCUUGGGAGUUGUAAUGAAUUGAACAUUGGAUCUCCCCAUUGUAUAUAGAUUAAAACUCACGAUCGACCUUUUGUCAUGGACCAAAAGAAAGUGCAAUAAAGUAAAUAAAUUGCAUAUUAUAAGGUAAGAAUACUUACUUCACAAAAAAAAAAAAAAUGGCAACCACAUUGACAGGCGCAUGAGAUGUGAGGCUUAACACCUAAACUACAAGGCUUAGCAAGUUAGAGCUAAGAGGAUGGGCCGACUAGUCACAGUCUUGAGUAUAAAUGUCAGGUCCUCUUAACUAUGGCUCAGUCAAAAGAAAAUCCCAUGGUCGCAUAGUUUUGCGAACAAGGAUAAACGUUUUGACACCAAGAAAAAUUUUCGGGGUUGAGAAAGGUAACCUUUACAUUGCGGUCUCGCGUUCAAGGUUGAUUCAUUUCUCAACACCAUCCUAGAAUCCUUAAAUGCGGUCCAGGUCCGACGGCAGGUUGUGUGUGCAAUGUGUAGUGCUAAAACAAUUUGAAAAUCAUAAACAACAAUUUAUAAUGCAAGCAACACUUCAAUAUAUAAGAAAAACAUUCAAUCCCAACACCUUCCUACAAAACAAAGAGUCAACAAGCACUGCUCCCCUUAUACCUCAUUUCUGUAAAAAUAUUUAACACUUUAUGUUAGGAGCGUACCUUGUUUCCAUGCUGUCAAACAAAAUAUUUAAAAAAAAAGAAAAAAAAGAAACAGGCCUAUGUCCACUAUGAGUUUUAACUCUCCUUAGUGGAGUCGUCAAGCUGUCACGACGUCCUCAAGGGUGAAUUACUUAAAGAAAGCUAAUGGAUUACUAAGUCUGAAGAUUUGGCGCGGACCCUCCUAAGUCCUACCAAUCGCAACUUGAUACUAAUGAAUUAACCCAUUUAAUCAUGCAAUUAUACUCAAUUUGGAGCCGCCACUAACCAAUUAGGUUUGGUUAGAAACCCAAGUAAAAUAUGGGAGAAUAUUUUACUUUUACGAACCAGAGAUUCAAUAGGUCUAAGGACAUGGUUACGCCAAAAAAAUCUAACGCCCUUUCGGUACCUUGUCAUUUUCAUUUCAAAAAUAUUUUGCAGGCAGUCUUGAUUAAUUUUAACCUAAGCUACUAACAUGCUAAGGAUGGUCAUGCAGGUGCACAAUUAAUGAAAUAACAUUCAAUAAACCGAAGUGAUAAAUUGUAAGAAAUUAUAAACUACAACUUGAUUAAGGUCCACUCUCUAAAGAAAAACUUACAAAAAUGCUAAUCAAAAUACAUGCCCUAAACAUGAUAUCUAAUUUUUUAUUUUUCUCCUUUUUUUAAUAUUAUUAAAUGUAAACUUAAUUUAGAUUUGACAUGCAUGAAUUUUACUUUAAUGAUAUGUGAGAUGCAAUUCAUGUGUCAUAACUUGAACUAUCACUAUAUGUAUGCAAUCUAAUUUACAUAACCCUAAAUAUGCAUGUGCUAUAUGAUAUGGGAUGUAUGACGUGGUAAUUCCAUAUGCAUGUUCUUUUUAUGAUUUUUUAAUGAUUUUUUUUAUUACACAUAUGCAACCUGCACUAACAAUGAUGAUAUGAAAUGGGAUUAAUUAUAAACUAACCUAUUAACUAAACAAAUAAAUGACUUUUGUAUUUUCUUUUUGACAAUAUAAUGAUGCAAUACCAAUCUUUGGCCUUUUUUUUUAUUAUUAAAAACAACUACACACGGGAAUAUUAAAACAUUAGCCUAUGACCCACUAACUAAAGCGCAACGUGUGGUGUGCACAUUAUGAAAUCUAUAUAACCUAAAUAACAUUUUUUAUUUUUUAUUUUUGUUUUGAUUUUAUUAAAGGAAAAUUAUCCUAAUUCUAUAUGAAUCUUAAAAAUUAAAAUGCGUUGCUUUAAACAUGAGAUAUGUGUGGACUUAAAUACCUAAGUUCUAUAAUUCAUGAUAUAUGAUGAGCAAAUAACGAUGACAUGCCAAAAUAAAAAGAAAAAAAAUCCAUCCAUGUAAAUCAAUGGCAUAUUAUUUUAAUAUGAAUCAAUGAUGCAAAGCAAUUCAUGAAUUUUGCCAUAAAAAGUCGAAAUAAUAAAAAAUCUAACCUGACGUCUCGCGGCUCAAUAUUUUUGAUUAUCAUGACUUAAUAUGACCAAUUUCCUAAAUCGGGUAAUGAUAAUAAAUCAAAACAAAUCAAGUUAGAAUAAAAAGAAAACUAUGAGUCCAAAUACUCAAAAUAAACUUAAUCUAAAAAUCUACCUAGUCUACCUCACGAUUAACUUGAGGAAUGUCGAAGAAACAGUGGUGGCCGAGCUGCGAUGGUGGUUCGGUAAUGGGUCGCCGCUCGAAACAGGGGUUGUUCAUCAGAACUCCGGCGAGGCUCGGGUGAUAACUGGACUUGCAACAAAAACAGGGGAGGCAGCAGGUGGCUCUAUUCGGGUGUGCAGCAGCGAGCAGAGGAGCAGCAACGUCAGGCGCAAGGCUGUGGCGUGAGCGGAGCGGGUUGCAGCUCGGCGAAGCUUCAGGUCGGCGUCGGGACUCCGGUGAAGGCAAGCGGUGGCACGGCGAGCGUCGGUGGAUGGCGAGUGGAGCGGUGAGGUGCGCUGCGGGCGUCGGGCGCGCAGUAGCUCGGACCACCAGCGAUGGGCGUCGCGGGCAGAGGAUUCCAGGUGCAGGCGUCGGCUGAGUGGAGACGGGCGUCGGUGCUCAAGCAGAGGCACCGAAUUCUGGUGUUGCUGUAGUCGGUCAAGUGGUGUUGCUUGGUUGCAGUGCUCAAAGGGGGGAAUCGCCUGGAUCGGCGUCGGGCCGUGGGCGUCGUCGGCGAAGGGCACGUCGGAGGCAGAGUAGCGCAGGAGGUCUGGGCGCUGCAACGGACGAACCAUCGAGGAAGAAGAACAAUUUUAUUCUUUCCUCCCCUUUUUUUUAAUUUUUCUAUCACCUGACACUCUCUCUCACCUGUCUCUUUCACUCUCUGUCGAACCCUCCCCCACUCUCACCUUUUUUGACUUUUCUCUCACAAAAACUCUAUCCCCUUGUGUGAAUACUUCGAAGACUCAUCCCAAAAGUCCCCCAUUAAACCUCACCAUAGUUUGCCAAAUUCUCUCACCAUGAAAACACACAAACACUUUUCGCUAAUUUCUUCAGCCCUCCCUUGGUUCCGAAACAUCACCUUCUUUUUUAUAGAGGAAAGACUCGAAGUUGUUGAAGAUUUCCCAAUAUUCACUCAACUUCUUCAACAAAAAAGUUGCUCCAAAAUCACAUGUGUUGAAUUUUUUUGAAUUCAAUUUUUUUUUUCAAGAUUUCCCUCUAUAAUUAAAGAUUAUCUUCUAUUUCUAAGAGAUGAGUUUACAUUAGGUGUCAACAAAUGACAGCCACAUUGGCUUUAAACAGGUCAUUACACAAGUACCAUUUUCCGACAUACAUCCCUCUUUUCGAAAGUACAAACUUGUCAGAUUCAAAUACAAUUUUGAAACCUUUCUUAACAAGUAUGGGGCCAGAGUUUAGGUUUUUCCGAAUCUCUAGUACAUGCAGCACAUUCAGCAGGGCAACCUCCUUACCAGAUGUAAACUUCAGGAUCACUUUUCCUCUUUUAACAAUCUUUGCUGAUGCAGAGUUAGCCAUAUAAAGCUUUUCAUCUUCUUCAGCCUUCUCAUAAGAUGAGAACAUGUGUUUAUCUGCACAGAUGUGAUUUGUGGCACAUGUGUCUAGCCACCGACCAUUAGUGUUCGACACUAGAGAUGCUUCAAAUAUUACCACAACAGACAAUCUCUCAAUAUUGUCAUGUUCUGUCAAAAUUUAGUUGCUGGGCUGCACCAUCGUUUUUGACUUUUUUUGGGCAGUUCUUGCAAUCCUUAGCACGAUGGCCAGGCUUGUUGCAUAUAAAACACGUCCCUUGAAAUUUCUGGAACUGUUCCUUCUGCUUGCCUUUUCUUUGAAAAAACAUCUUCAUUUUUCUAUCUUGCUUGGAUUUGGAAGAUUGCACAACGUUGGCCUUUAGCUCAGAAGAAGGGUUAGCACUCCUUCUAUUGUCCUCCUUGAUUCUAAGGCACAUAAUGAGAUCUUCAAGACUCAUCUCUUUCCGUUUGUGCUUCAAAUAAUUUUUGAAGUCUGAUCAACUCGAAGGCAGUUUCUCAAUCAUAGCCACCACUUGGAAUGAUUCACUAAGUAUCAUUCCCUCAGCAGAGAUGUCACUUAGAAUUAGUUGUAAUUCUUGAAUCUGACUCAUGACAGAUUUAGAAUCCACCAUCUUGUAGUCCAAGAAUUUGACAACCACAAAUUUCUUAGUGCCAGCAUCCUCAGUGUUGUAUUUCUUCUCUAAGGACUCCUAUAACUGUUUAGCAGAUUCAAUAUUACAAUAAACAUUAUAAAGAAAAUUCACUAAACAGUUAAGGAUGUAAUUUCGGCAUAAGAAAUCUCCAUGCUUCCAAGCCUCCAAUGCACCGAGCGUCAUGACAUCGUGCUCAUCUAGACUAAUUACAAGGCACACCUCCGAUAAAUACUUCGUCAGAUUUAGCAUAGUCAGAUAGAAGAACAUCUUCUGUUGCCAUUGUUUAAAGCCCACUCUGGUGAAUUUCUCCGGUUUCUCAUUAGUUGUAACUAGAGGUGUUGCCAUCACAGUAGGCAAAGUUUGUUGAACUAUCCCCUAUAAACGGAGCCAAAAGCCAUUUGGCUUGUACUAUUCUGAAAAAAAAGCCCCACGCAAACCAGUCGUAUGACUUGUACCCACACCACCAAAAUUGGUGUUGGCCUAAGGGCCCGUAGCAUUGGUUGCUACAAAUUCAAACCCUGAGGGUUGAACAUCUUCCAUAGAAAAGGUCGAAUCAACCAUAGGAAUGUCUCUUGAAACAUUCGGGACAUUGAAGGGCACAUAAUUGUUUUCAAUCAUCUCAAUAAUUUGACAAGAACAACAAACAAUGAGUGAUCUAAUCGCCUUAAAAUUGUUGGAAAUCAAUCCAGAGAAACCAAAUUGUUUGUUAUAAUCAGAACAGCAAUGUAAAGAAGAUGAUAGCAACUUUAUAAUAUUCUUCAUUUUACAAAUCUUGGAGAAGAAGAAAAUAAGAUAAAACAUAAAAUUGAAGGUGAGGUAUGGAUAUCCGAAUCUCCUUAAGGCGAUUAAUUCCUGCCAAUGGUGCUCUGUAGAUUCACGAACUAUGCCUCCCAAGAUAUAAUACAUCAAACCUGUUUGGAUUAGCACUAUGCAAACAAGGCUCAGUCGAACCGUUCAAUUGAACCAGCGUACCCAGAAAAAUCAAAAGAGUAGAAAAUGAUACCAAAGCUCUUUAAGAAUCGAAUUGGGAAAACCAAAAAACCCAAAAACUCUAUUGAAGCUUUAUGCUCCCAUCUAUUUAUAGAGAUUUUUAGUUCAUGUAAAGAAGAGAUACAUGAAUUAAAUAGACGAAUGUAUUCACGAAAUUCAUGAAUCAAGAGAUACGUGAAUCCAAGAGAUUCAUGAAUCCAGAGACACGUGAAUUUAAGAGAUUCGUGAACUCAAUAAAUACAUGAAUCUAGGAAAUUCAUAAAUUCAAUAGAUACGUGAACAUAAAAGUUUAGGAAAUUUAUGAAUUCAAUAGAUAUGUGAACAGAAAAGACGUAUCUUAAUUUAUUGGCUUUCGUUGAUCCAUUAACCAUUUAUGACAUCUACAACCAAGCUCCAACGCGACGACGUGCCAAGAACCCGGCGAUCGACUUUGCCCAACGAAUGUUUAAUCUUGAAAGACUCAACGCCAUAUCUUUUCUUUUUCUUUUUUGGUUUCUUUUCGUUGGGCAAAUUUUUCUUCUAUUCUCUAGAAUGGAUAUUGAAAGAACGAUGUGAUUCUUUUUCCAAAUAUACUAAUCUUCUAACUCAUCACUUCCCGUAAGUCAAUUUUCAACCAUCAAAGAAUAAUAGGCUUGGGCCAAUUUAUUUUCUCCGUGGGCUUAGUCCAACUUGUCAAAUUAAAAAUGAGAACCAUUUAUUAAAACUCAUCCAUCCUGGCCCAAUGCAAAUACAAUAAUAAAAAAUAAAUGCUCUUAAAAAUAUAUGCUAUGCAACUUAAUUCUCAUAUUUUUGUUUAGUGGUUAAAAAUUAAUCCUUAAUUUUUUAUGCGAUAAAUGAAUGAUUGGAUUGCUAAAAUUUAUAUAUUAACAUCACUCUUGCAUCUAUGCCUUUGGUGAAUUUCAUGAAGGAGAUAAUUUCGAGUAGGAUUUCUACAUUAUCAUUUUUAUCGGUAGUUUAUACAAAUCAUCGAUAGUGCAUUAAUUGUAAUAUUUUCCUACCUUAAAAAAAAUCUUCGCGUUGUUGAAGAAGAUGGAUUGACGAGAAAUAUCUCUGUUGGCAAUAGAAAAUGUUUAGGCAUAAUUAGUUAUGAUGAUACAAACAUUUUCAACUGACUAAUAUUUCUGCUCGUUAAUAAUGAUCUUUUAUUUUUUAGGAAAAUAUUUAUCAAAUUAUGCAACUUGUCACAUAGUGCAAUCGGCUUGAUCUAAUGCAGUGAGCCUAUGCAACACUUCCUAGACAAAAAAAAAUUCUGCAAUUGGUCGCAUAAUGCAAUUGACUUAAUCUGAUCAAGUGAGCCACAACAUUUGCUAGGAAAAAAAAAAAAAAAACUCAUGGUUGGGUUCAUAGUAGUGUAAUGAACCCAUUCUCCCACAUUUCUUUAGAAUAAUAGUUUGAGAAUGCCUAGUUUGGUUGGGUUUUCCCAAGGGGCUUUGAGCCCUCAAAGCCCCUUGGGGAAAUUUUUUUGUGUUUGGCAAGUGUUUUUGAAUACUCAUUUGCCAAAUGUGGGCAUUCUCAAUGCUGAAAGCCAAAUGCUGGGAAGUGGUGCUUUGGGCAUUAGGCAUUUUGGAAAUGCAACGUGUCACUGUUCAUCGUCUCUCCCCCUUCAUCUUCUUCUCUACCCUUUUCAAGUGCUCGAGCGAACUCCUCCAAAUAUUUCAAUUGCGACUCCACGUUACCAAAUAUCUCCCGCAUGGCCCAUGCGUUCGCCCUCACUUCCUCUCCCUCUGGCUCUACCAUGACCCACUUUAUCGUCUCGGCGACCGAGUCACUCGUGAACGACCCAUCCCGGCUGUCCCUUGGCACUUCCGACCCAACCCGCCUCUCGUCCAUUAGCCUCGCCAUCAGCCCUUGGUCGGAGCUCCCCCCAGAAAAUAGGAUCAGUGCCCGGCCUUGCCCGAGUGCCUCUAUGACCGAGCUCCACCCGCAGUGCGUCAAGAACCCGCCAAUCGACGGGUGGGCCAGGAUGUCGAGUUGAGGAGCCCAGCCCACCCAGACGAGGCCUCGACCUGAGACCCGGCUUUCAAACCCAGAAGGGAUACUGCUGGGGCCAGCCUUUCGGCUUAUCACCCAGACGAAGGGCAAACCUGACUUUUCAAUCCCACGUGCCAGCUCGUGCAUUAACUCUUGACUCAAAGCCACCUCGGUGCCAAGGGCGACGUAGAACACUGACUUCCCUUCCUUACCAUCCAACCAUUGCUUGAGCUCGCUCCAUCUCCCGUCUCCUUCGUGGCGGCUUUUAUUCUGGGGUGACAAAAGCCCCAUCGGAACCACGGGUCUUGCGUAAAACUUCUUGAGUAGACUCAACGGCUCGGCCUCGAACUCGCUACAGGUCCUUAUGGCCACGAUAUCGCAUCCCUGUAUCGACCUGCCAAACCUUUCGAAAACCGACAUGUUAGAUUUAGGGUCCACGAAAUCCUCUUCGUUGAGCACCUCAUGAAGCCUAAACGCGAUUUUAGUUGGGUAAGUAACCCACUGGGGAACGACCGUCAAGUCCUCUGCCGUCUUGGCUCGGGCUUGAUUGUCAAUCAGAAGAGAUGGCGGGCCAAUGAAGGCGAGGAUGCUGGCGUUGAAUAUGCUGAAGAACACCGAUUUAACACCGAGUUGUCUCGCCUUUUGGGGUAACCAGAAAGACAUGAAGUCUUGGAUCACCCAGUUGACGUCCGAGUUCACAAGGAACUCGGCAACAGCUGGCUCGAGCAUGUCGUAUGCCUUCUUAAGGUAAGGGACCAUGUUUUGCAGCAGCUCGGAGGUCGACUCGGCAGAGUCGGGGAGGCCAUGGACGCGAGGCAAGGGAAGCUCAACGAGGGUUAUCGAGGAAGGGAGGUUCGCGGGGAGCUUUUGGAGGUUUUUCGGGGUGGAGAUGAAGGAGAUGCGAUGACCCUUUCGAGCUAAGAAGGUGGCGACCUCGAGGAAGGGCAUGAGGUGGCCGUAAGCGAGCCAUGGGAACAUCGCGACAUGGAGCUUCUCUUUGUUUUCCAUGGCAGUGUGUGGAAGGAAGACGAAGUGGAGAGAGACUUUAAAAGAGAAACCAGCUUGCGGUGGAGCGCGCACGUGCCUCUACUCGGUGCACGUGCCGGGAGUGAAUGAGAUUAGUCUCCUUCGCUACACACGUGCGAUUUUGCAAGUAAAUAGCAUUGUAACACGAGAUCGAAUGUUUAUUAUACGCAAAAGAAGAAAGCAAAAGUCUUAGGCUCCCAUUUAUUUAGCCGAAAACUACUUCUAGAAAAAUAUUUUCUAGAUUUUUCAAUAUUCAUUUCACAGAAAAUGAAUUGAUCGGGAAAAAUAUUUUCUAUUAACGAAAAAAAGAUUUAUAAGAUAGGAAAAACAUUUUCCGCUUUCCAAGUAGGGAAAACAUUUUUAAGUGGAAAACAUUUUCCACACUCACUCUCUCUUUGUCUCACACCUCUACUGGCUCCCUCUUCUUUCUUUCUUUCUUUUUUUUUCCCCUUUUGUUUCAACUAGUUGCCGAACACUAUGACGGUCGGCAACCAACCAUAGGCUAGCUUGAGCUAGUUGCUUGCCAAAUUAGCAAGCGUGAGCCUCUGGUGAGGCUUGAGUACUCAAGCUCACCUUUGGCUGAUCACCAAGUGUCACCAUGGUUGGCAAUUGAUCGAAGGGGCUAGCGAUCGGCGAAGAAGAAGGAGGUAAAGAAAAUAUUAAAAAAAAUAUAAAAAGAAAAAAAUAAGUUAAGAAAGUUAAAAUUUUAAUUUUUUUUUAAAUAAAUAAAUAAAAUUAUCUAAAUGAAUGCACGGACGAAAAUCAAAUCAAAUUUUUCAUAUCGAGUGGAGAAAAAUAUUUUCCUAGUUCAUUUUCAAGUUUUAACCGAAUAUUAGAAAAUAUUGUUAUUUUUCUGAAAAAUGAUUUCCCAAAAAAUAAUUUCCAUAAAUAUAUAAUUUUUGUAAACGAACAGAGUUUAAGUCUUGAGUGACCGUAAGAAAGGGCUCACUUUGUGAUAACUUGAAUGUCUCAAAAAUAAGAACUCACCUCCUUUGGAAAAUCGAUUGAUGUACUAACACAAGUAGUUUGAGAAUGCCCUGGCCUUUAGAUAUUUGGGUCGGACGGUUUCCACAUUUGUGCCUUUUCAAUAACAACUAUCCAUUUAGAAAUCACCUCGAUGGAAGGUAGUUGAGGACCUAACAAGGUCUAAGUCAAACCUUUUAUUUGGAAAAUAUUCCAUCUGUACAUGAUGGGAUUGGGUUAGUAGAGUACGCCCAUAAUAGCCAUUGAAUCUCCGCGGGUUUCUAUUGCAUGCAAACUUGAAUAAUGGGUGGGGAUCAGAUUUAUUUUACGUCAUGUUUUACGCACACGAUUCUAAUUCAUACUUGAAUCCUGUUCUUCAAUGCAUGAUUAGGUUAGUUCGUUUUUGUCAUACAUGGCCCAUAUCUAAUUAAUGGACCGGUGUUGCCCCUUAAUGGCAAUAAUAAUUGAAGAUGGCGUCUCAAAUGAGUUUGGCCCCAUUCUAGGACCACGAGUUCAAUGACUCAAGGCUCUGCCCCUUUCAAGUGCCCGAGUGUGCUCAUCCACAUACUCGAAUUGCAACUUCAUGUUGCCAAGUAUCUCCCUCACGGCCCAUGCACUCGUCUUCGGCUCCUCUCCCUCUGGCUCCACUGACCCCCCCUAAUCGUCCCGGCUACCGAGUCACUAGUGAGUGGCCCCUCUCAUUCAUCCGUUAGCACCUCUUAUUUGACCCGCAUCUCAUCCAUCAGUCUCACCAUCAGCCGUUGGUCUAAGCUCCCAUAGUAAACAAGAUCGGCGCCUGGCCCUCCCUGAGUGCCUCUACAACCAACCUCCAACGCGACGACGCGCCAAGAACCCGCUGAUCGACACCCAGACUUCUGGACCCAAAAGAGAUUAUACCGGAGCAAGCUUUCUGCCCUACCCACCUGAACAGAGAGCAAACUUAACUGCCCCAUUUCACUGCCUGGCCAAGUUUGAGGAAACCGCGCAUUUGAUUUUUCAUUAAAAUCAGGGCAUAAUCGAUCCCUUAUCAUCUUGGCAAGAAAGAAUGAUCAAGUUUUAGCUUAAAAAGUGAUUGGGUAACAAUUUUUUUUUAUCUAUUAUGAAAAUAAUAAUCUGUUUUGCAUCACAAAAAAUCAAAUAACAAAUAAUUUUAUUCUUAUGGUAGCACAAAUUAAGCUAGCCAAUCCCUUUUAGCUUUACUCAUCCCCAAGUUUAUACAUAGCGAUUGAUCCAUAAUAUGCUAAGAGUGCGAGGGAGUUGGUAACACUAAAAUUGAAUUUCUUGCUUUUAGGUUUUUGCUAUUUUCUUGAUAGCAAGUUAUAUUACUUUUCAUGGCAGAAGUAAUUUCUUGCUUUUCGUAUUUUAGUUUCUAGAGCUUUGCUAAUAUAAGAGAAAAACAAUUAGUUAUGAGCCACAAAUUUUUAAAUGAGUGUGCUCCAUAUUAAUUUGUAAUUAUUUGUUAUUUGAUUUUUUUGUGAUCUAAAAUAGAUUAUUAUUCUCAAAGUAAGUUAAAAAUUGUUACCCACCUCAUUGGUGGUUACGUGGUUUGUGCUCAAUCUCUCUACUGGAAGGGAGCGAGUUCAAAUUUCUGCAUUUGCUUGUGCGACUAAACUACAGUUCGUGGGAGGUGGGUCCUCGCGGGUUGCCCCCGGUUUACGUCGCCGGCUGCCGGCUAUACGGCAGUUCCCGGUCAUAAAAAAAAAAAAAAAUUGUUACUCAAUCAAUUCCUUAGUUUUUACUAAAAACUAGUAUUUUGGCCUGUGUGAGGGGCUAUUCCACUAUUUAUCUUAUAAUUUUUUUAGCGCUAACCAACUGGAGGGAAAUACAUAAAACUUUAUAGGAUGUAUGUACAAACGGAUAACCAUAGUGAAAUAUCUGCUUAUUGUACGAAGUCGUUUAUUUAAUUUCAAACCACACGAUUUUCUUGUCUUUUCCAUACGCGGGGAACGAACAUGGCCCCAUCCCAUGUGCUACCAACUAAGCUAACAUGAUCUGAGGAGGGAGCUUCUCGAGAUACUCGUUUUGCAGCUCGAAAUUGCCAAAUAUGGCUGCGUUUGGGAGUGGCAUUUGCAAGCCACUUUAAAUCCCCAAAGCUCUUUGGGCUAAUUUGUGGGUGUUUGGUAAAAAUUUCCAAACCCCAUUUGGGGAAUGCCAAGCAUUCCCAAGGCUGAAAGCCCAAGGCAGGUGGGGGGCUGCCUUGGGCUUUCAACCUUCUCGGCAUGCUGAGCUGAGCUUAAAUAAAAAAAUUUCCUUCCCAAAUUGUUCCCGUUGAUUUUUCGUUUUUCCCUUUUUACCUCGACUGUUUAUCUUCUUCUUCUUUCUUCUUCGUGAGCGGUUGCCGACGAAGGGCACGCAAUCGCCAGCGACCGUCAUGCCCGCCACACCACGACCUCCGCCGUGGCCGCGCGACCCUUCGGCGAGGGUAGCGUGACCCCGCUCGAGAGGUCGCCGCGAAGGUCGCGACCGCGACCCAUUUGGUCGCAGAUCUGGUCGCCGGCAGCGACCUUCGCGCUGUGACCAGAUGGGUCGCCGGUUGCGACCUUCAAGCGACCUUCGCGGAGGUUGCAACGCAAAUCUGCGUCGCCGGCCGUGCUUCAGGCGACCUCCGCGGAGGUCGCGACCUUUGCAACACCCAUCUGGUCGCGACCUUUGCGCUGCGACCAGAUGGGUCGCCGACCACGACCUUCGCGGAGGUCGCGACCUUCACGCGACGCAUCUGGUCGCAGAUUUGGUUGCGACCACGCCGGCCGCAACCUUCACGACCAGAUGGGUCGCCGGCGACCUCUGCGGCGCGGUGGGUCGCACGACGGCGUGGCGAGGGUCGCCGCGACCCUCGCUGAAUUUCCUAUCCUUGGCCGGCGGUGACCGGUGAAGCCCUUGGCUGGCGAAGCCUUGGCCGGCCAACGUUUUUUUUUUUUUUUAAUAAUAAAAGUAUUUUACAAAUUUAAUUUACCAAAACAUUAUUUUGCACAAAGAUAUUUCACAAUGGACUUUCACAAAUAAAUUUACCAAACACGCUUUGCAUUUUGAAAAACACCCUUAACUCAAAGGCCUUUACUUUUUCUCAAGGACUUUUCCCAAAAUCUUCCCAAACGCACCCUAUGUCCCUCAUGGUCCAUGCCUUUGCCCUCACCUCCUCUCCCUCCGGCUCGACCAUGACCCGCCUGAUCGUCUCAGCCACCGAGUCGCUCGAGAACGACCCGUUGAGCUCGUCCCUCAGCAGCUCAAACCCGACCCCUCUCUCUUCGAGCAGCCUCGCCAUCAACCCUUGGUCGGAAUUCGCCCCAGAAAACAGAAUCAGCGGCCGGCCUCGCCCGAGCGCCUCGAUGGCGGAGCUCCAACCGCAGUGGGUCACGAACCCUCCAACUGCUGCGUGAGCGAGAAUUUCGGCCUGAGGUGCCCAACCCAUCCACAAAUAACCUCGGCCCGAGACCCGACUUUCGAAGCCGGGAGGUAUAAUCUCCGGGCCGGGCCUCUGACCCACCACCCAAACGAACGGCAAACCCGACUUCUCGAUCCCUGCCGCAAGCUCCGGCAUCAUCUCCCGGCUGAUGUUAACCUCGGUGCCAAGCCCGACAUAGAAGACUGACUUCUCUUUCUUAUCGUCAAGCCAUCUUUUCAGCUCGACCCAUCUCUCGUCUCCCCUGCCGCAUUUGUGGCGGGGCGGUAAUAAGCCCACAGGGACCACAGGUUUUCCGUAAAGCUUCUGGAGUAGCCUCAGCGGAUCGGCCUCGAACUCGCUACAGCUCCUCACGGCCACGGACUUGGAACCCCGAAUCGACUCGCCAAACCUCUGAAAAUCUGAAGCUCCGGUGUCCAUGCAAUCCUGGUGAGUGACUAUCUCGUGGAGCCUGAACCUGACCUUGGACGGGUAAUCUAUCCACUUGGGAACGACGGUAAAGUCCUCCGGCCUUCUGCUCGGGCCAUCGAUCAAGACGGAAGGUGGUCCGAGGAAAGCGAGAGAAGUAGCACUGAAUACACCAAAGAAUGCCGAGUUCACACCCAGUCGGCUCGCAACUUGGGGCAACCAGUGCGACGCAAAGUCGUGGAUUAUCCAGUCCACGCCAGAGCGUUGAAGAAACUCGUCAACAGCUGGCUCGAGCAUAUCGUAGGCCUUUUUGAGGUACGGGACCUUGUUGUUCGGCAGCUCGGCCGUCGACUCAGCCGAGUCCGGGAGGCCAUGGACACGAGGCAAGGGAAGCUCAACGAGGGUUAUUGAGGGAGGGAGGUCUGUGGGGAGCUUUUGGAGGUUUUUGGGGUGGAGAUGAAGGAGACGCGAUGACCCUUUUGAGCUAAGAAGGUGGCGACAUCGAGGAAUGGCAUGAGGUGGCCGUAAGCAAGCCAUGGGAACAUCGCUAUGUGAAGCUUCUUCUCUUCGUUUUCCAUGGCAGUGGCUAUGAACACUAUUUCAUUUGACGGGUGUGGUGGUAAUGUGACUAGCGAGUGAACUCCAAUGCAAUGGAGAAUGAGCUUUCUCUUCAUAUAUAUACAGGAACUACGUAUGGUGCUUUAAAAUUCUAAUUAAUAUCAGCAUAAAUUAACUUGCAUUUAGAUGUCUAUAACUUAUUACACGAGACUAAAGACUCCAUUCGUUUUGUGGAAAAGGUUUUUCAAGAAAAAAAAUUUCCGGAUUUUUCGAUGUUUGUUUCAUGGGAAAAAAAACUAUAUACAUAAUCCUACAUGUCAAUAUCUGAUUUUUUUUUUUAAGGCAAGAAAUGAGUUGAGUUAAAAACGAUAUGUGAGUUAUGCAAUAUUAGUAAAGUCAAAAGUAGAGGUGGCUGCAGCCAAGUUAGCUAAUUAUUAUCUUUGGGACUUCGUAUCUUCUCUUCAUGUGCAUUGACUUAUAUGAUUCACGGGAGAGAUGUUACUUCUUAUUCUGUUAAAGUUUUUGAUGUACCAAAACAAAUAUCACACGAGAUAAACUAUCGAGAAACAAAUUAUGACCAGCUGAAAAGAUUUAGGUACUUUACUUUCCAAUUGAGGAGGAAAUGUCAUUAGUAUAAAUUGAGUGUUAUAUUUCUAUUGAGAUAAACUAUCUAAGUCAAGUAGAGUGAAUUUAGAGUUUGUCAUUCCUAAGUAAUUGGAUUUUACGAAUGAAUGGUGGAUAGAACUAAUAUUAUAUAGUGCGUAAAUUUGUAUAAUUUUUUUUAAAAAUUUUUUAGGCCCUGUUUAAUAAUCGGUCAAGAAGUGACUAUUUCUAUUCUUUUGUUAUUCUGAACAAAAAAGAAACAUAAAUCUAUUUGUUAAUGUCAACUAAUUUUUUUGUCAUUUGAAAUAAAUUUGGAAUCGAAUUAAGAAAUUAAAAAAAAUGCUUCUUUAUUCUUAGAAACAAUUCAAGAAUCAAGUAAUUUUCUUUCUUUUCUUCCGUUUCUUUUAUUCUUUUCUUUUUCUUAUUCCCCCUCUGCAAUGUGGUGGCUGGGCUUCCUUGAGGCUAGCGAGGUAAUCGAUUCUCGUUUGGUCAAAAAUCAGCUAGAGGAAGAAGAAGAGGAGAAGGAGGAAAAAAAGAAAAGAAAAAAGAGGAGAAAAUAUAAUAAAAUUAUUAAAAAAUUAAAAAAUUAUAGGUUGCAAAAAAUUUGAAGAUUGUACCAAAUACAUUUUUAUUCCGGAAAAAAAAAUUUCAUAUAGUUACUAAAGACUUUCAAAUACUCAAAAACUUAUCCUAGAAACAAAAUAAAAAAUAUAUAUAUAUUUUUGAGUAGAAAUUAUUUUCAUAAACAGAAUGAUUACUAAAUAGGUCUUUAGUUGGAACUUGAGGUGAAUCUUAUGAACUUUGGAAAAAUUAAUUUACUUGAUCUAAUAAAGUCGCUCUACACCUUAAAUGAUCCGGACCUGUUUCGAUGGAGCCGAGUACUUAUGUGUAGGGGUGUCAGUAACCAAACCGGAAACCGAACCGAACCGAAAAUCGAACCGAACCGAACCAAAAAAUUCGGUUUUUUCGGUUCAGUUUUCAUUAAAAACCGAAAUUUUUCAGUUCGGUUCGGUUUUUAUCGGUUAACCGAAUUGAACCGAACCGAGAAACCGAAAAAUAGAACCAAUAACCACUAAGCAUUAACCAAACCGGCAAAAGGGCCAACCCUAUUUCUUAUUCUCUCCCAUCUCCUCUCAUCUUGAAGGUGCGACGGCGACGGCGACGGCGACGGCGACUGUGACUGUGACGGCGACGGCGACAAGGACUGCGACGGCGGCAGGGACGGCGACCGAUUGAGGGACCGGUUGUUCCGCCACGCCCUUUUCUCUUCUUCUUCUCCUUCUUCGUCGGCAGCGGCGCGCCGGCGACUCGUGGAGCUGUGUGCUGUGCUGGGUCGAGCAACGGCGCUUCGGAGACUGACCCUUUUUGUCCUCACGACACCGCUCUACUACGUCAAUGCCCCUCCUCACAUGGGCACUGGGCAGCGCCUACACCACCAUUGCCGCUAAUCCCAUCGCUCGCUUUCAGGUUUGUCUUCAAACAGUUGAGGUUAAUUGUUUUGAUGUUAUCGUAUUGCGCAACAUGUAAAUGGAGCGAGACUCGGACUGGGAAGUUGCAGGGCUGCUAAUUGUAUAUUGCGUGUGGUUUACCGGAUAAUUAAUGAUUUUUUGCUGAAGAACCCUUUUUGCAUUGUCGGUGUUAUGUAACACAGACUACUAAUAGAUCCAACAUAAAUAUUGCACCAAGUUUCAAAGUGAUCAAAUGCUUGCAGUGGUUGACUUCAAGGUUGAUUUCAUGUUUAGAAGGUGCAAAGUAACGCAGAUUCUUGCUAUUUUGUAUGGUGUUAGUGUUCUGGCUUUGGGUUACAGAUUCUUAAUUUGACCUCCUCUUUUUUGCCGUGUUUGGCUUAAAUUAUCUCUCUAUUCCUAAUAUAGUUAUGUUUGCCUUUCUGAAAAGGGUGUCCUGACUUUUUUUUGUGUGGAUUCCUGAUUCUUUUCAUCUGUUUUUCUUUUUCCCUUUGUCUCUUUAUCUGUGUUUGGCUUAAACAAUUAUUCUUUUUCACAAAAGUAUCAAGUUCGACAAUUGGAAAAGGGUUCCAACUUCUCAUUGUAGAUUCUUGACUCUUUUCGUCUGUUUCCUAUUUCUUUUCUAUACGAACUUGAAUUCUACCAUCUUCCAUAGAUAGCAUCUAAUGCAGCUAAAAGUUUUGGGCCCUGGAUCUAUCUCUGUUAUGUGUCCUUGCCUUCUUCAGAGGGAAUUUAUCUAUAAUUAUGCAUCUUAUGUAAAAAUGGUUGCUCCUUUGAGGUUUAUAAAUAUAUUAAUGUUCCUUUAUAUUGAUGCAGUGUCAUUGAAGCUCUCAAGGUGGAUAGUUUGCAGAAACUUUGCUCAUCAUUGGAGCCCAUACUUCGGCGUGUCGUAAGAUAAAUUUGGCAGCCGCAUGCUAUUCAUUUAUUGUGUUUCCAUGUUCUUUUCUCUUGGUUAAUGGAAGAGUAGUAAAAUUGAUUGAUGAAGAAACUAGAGAACAAUGGUUAUCAUGAUUUGUGGGAGUGAAUGAUAUUCUGAUUCUAUAUGUAUCACUGUCUCCUUAAAUUGGCUUGAGAGCCUUGAGAAGUGAAAAUCUCAUGUAUAGUGUAGUAUGUUUGCGUUUAGGGUGACUAUGCAUUAGCAAUAUCAUCUUUGAUUUUGCCAAAUAUCAUGUAGUGACUAUGAUAGUUUAGUUUACACUUUUAAUUUGGAACUGAGGGAAUGGAUCAUGAUUUUGCCUGCAUAACGAUAUAAUGUUCCUCAGAAUUGGUCAUAAAGGAAUUUGCUAUGUUUGAAGUUUUUAACGUAGCUUAAGAACUAACUUUCUGAAAUAUUGACCAGGUUAGUGAAGAAGUGGAGCGAGCUUUAGCAAAAUUGGGCCCCUUCAAAAUUACUGGGAGGUAUGCUAUUUUUUAGCUAGGUGGAACCAUAGUGAUGAAAUUUUUGUAUUGGCUUGACGCUCUGAGUUGUGAAUCUGGUUUGCUUGAGAAGAUACUCAUUAGCUCUGUAGGGGCAGGUAUGAAUUGCCUGAAGGUUAAGCUGGAAACAUGUUUGUGCAUAUGGUUCUUCCAUGGUUUAUUUAUUUAUAUGGUUGACCUCGCUUAGUGGGAUAAAGCUUAGUUGUUGUUGUUAUUUUUUGUUUGUUUGCUUGUUUGUUUAUUCAUACUUGACUAUACAAGUUAUUGCAAACGAUUUGUUAUUGCGUCAUUAGUAGAGAAUUCCCACGAUUCUUAUAAUAGUUAACCAUCAUUACAUAAGACUUGGGGUAAACAUGAACUGGGUAAUGCAUAUUUCAUGCUUUGUUUCAAGAUAAUAACAGUAGGAGAGCAAGCUCUAGAAUUUAAAUUUUGUUUUUAUAUAUUCUCAUGGCUUUUCUUAAUCUAAUUUUCUGAUGACUUUAGACAACUUUUCAAACUUGUGAAUUUAAAAAGGGUUUCUUCUUGCUUGACUUCUCUUCGAAGAGAAGACAUAGAUGUUCGUUUCUUGAAUAUAGCGCAAAAACUAGAGAGAACGUCAAUUAAUGCUUCAAAGAGCUUAUACAGAAGGUAAGCCAUCCCGAAAAAAAAAAAAAGAAAAAAAAAAAACCGAAACCCAAAAUUUGAAAACCGAAAAACCGAACCGAAUUCGGUUCGGUUCGGGACUUAUUCGGUUCGGUUCGGAAAUUUUCUCUAACGGUUCGGUUCGGUUCGGUUUUUCAAAAAAACCGAACCGAACCGUUUACACCCCCUACUUAUGUGGGCAUGAUUUACAGAGGAUCGUAUGUUCCAAUGUUUGGCCCCAAUGCAUGAUGCAUGCCACCGACGGUGUACCACUACAGUAGCUUUCAUAAAUUCUGAGAAAAUAUUGGUUGCUUCUAACGUGCAAAUUCAAUUCAGUUCUUUACCAAAAAAAGAAAAUUCAAUAGGAAGGGCCAUAAGGGUAUGACACGUGUCCAACUGCCCAAAUUUCAGACUGUUUCUUCUCUCUCUCUUCAUUCCAGCACACAUCUUCGGCUUCCCCUUCGACCCCUUUCGCGGUCUUCGUGGGGCCGCAGCACUCGUCGUUGAGGAAGUCAGGGACGGAGCUCGUCGCAACGGGCCCAGCGGCCGCAUGGAAGAAGGGCUUUAAAGGGACCCACACGCGGCGGCCGGCGAGGGGGUUGGCAAGUGCACGUCCACGUUGCACGCAGCGCACAGGGCGGCGGCGUCAACCCUGCACGCGAAGGCUACCAGCGUGCACUUGCAUGCCUCGCACAUCCACGCGCGCUUGUGGCGGGAGGCAAGCUUGUUGGCGCCAUGGACGCUGGUGUUGUAGGGCCGGCAGAGGAAAGCCACAUAGGCCUUAUAGAACACUAUGGCCGCGGUGGACCUGCAGUUGUCGCACGCCUUGGUGCUAGCCCGCCGCCAUCUUCCGAACUCUUAGGUUGCACAUGACAAAAUUUCUGAAACAGAAAUUGAUUUCUGGCCAGAAAUUAGUUUUUCAAUUUCUAUUCCCCGAACAAGUUUCUGAGCAAAGAAACCCGUUUGAUAACGAUUCAAAAUUUUUAUUUCUGAAACAGAAAUCCGUUUGAUAACAGAAUAAAAUUUCUAUUUCUAUUAAUAGAAAUUGAUUAGAUAUCAACAUAGAAAAUCCUCUAAUACAAAAUAAUAGUCGAAAUAAUACUAAAACAACAUAGGAAAUCCUCAAAUACAAAAUAAUAGUCAAAAUAAUACUAAUACAUUAUAAAAGUUGAAAAUACAAUUUCAUGGAAUUUCCGGUAUAUUAUUAUCCCUUGUCAUUUUAUUGGCAAUGGUUUUCCUAAGCGUAUUUAUUUGGUUUUUCUCAUCGGUUAAUGUAUCAUUUGCAAGUUUAUCUUGCGCAGGUUCAGACAAGUAUUGCGGAAGCAUAAAUAUGGAUGCCAUCAAUGGCGCCUAUAUAGCCCUGUCAUUUUAUCAAACACUAGUAUUAUACAAGAUUAUCAACAAAAUAAAAUUGAUGGUGUAAAGGAAUAUAUGAGAAUUCUACCUUGAAGUAAUGUUUAUGGUCAGGAACUAAUCGGGGGGAAGGUCGGUUUAUUUUGAUUCUCAAAUUGAAUCAAUCCAGUUGCUCAUCCCUAAUUUCUUUAUUUUUGCUCAAUGAACCUUUAAUGGCCCUUGCAUAACAAAGAGAGAGAUUCUCUUUAAUCUCUUGUCUUCGAAUUAAAAUUCAAGAUUGUGUAACAAUCUAAUUAUUUUGAUUUUGCAAGAAUUUUGAAUCCGUAAAGAAACAAGGUUAAAUUUCUAGGCACGUUUUUUCUUCAUUUAUUACGUAAAAACUUUUUCUUCAACUGGCCAUGCGUGCACCAUUUCUAGGAGGAAAUAGCCACAUUGUUUUUAAGUAAGCAUUUAAGAACUUUGGUCGUUUUUGAAAGUUAGGGACCCAUUCGAUUGUCUUUCAUCCUAAAGAGGAAGUUAUAAAAAAAAAUGAAAAAAAAAAACACGAGCAAAAUAAGAAUAAGAAAAUUAGCAAUAAUUUGUGAAGUUGUGGUUAUGAGUGAAUUAAGUUAGCAAGAAAGCGCAAUGCUCUUUUAUAUGGUUUGAUUUUAGCUUCUGAUUUCUAUUUCAGAAACUGAAAAGUUAAAAAUUUUAGCUUCUGAUUUCUUCAAUUUCUCUAUUUCUGGAAUAGAAAUCUGUUUCAGAAAUAGAGAAAUCAAAUUGCGUUACUAAACGGAUUUCUGUUCCAAACCUGUUUCGGGGAACAGAGAAACAGAGAAAUCGAGAAAUAGAAAUUUUGUCAUGCGCGCCCUUAGUUGCUGCAGUUGCAUCGAAACCCAUCGUCCGCCGUUGCCAAAUGACACCGCUGGAAUUGCCGAACAACUGAGCGUGCAGAGGAAAGAGAAGAAAGAGUGUGAAAUUUGGACCCGCUUGUGACACGUGUCCCAUCCUUAUGGCUCAUCUUAUUUAUUGUGUUGGCACAUUCGACAGAGCCAAUAUUUUCUCAUAAAUUCAACGCGGAUGCGUCCGCCCUCGACGCCUUUCCCUCUGCGUCCGUCGUGACCCACCCAAUCAUCCCUUCUCAAUGGCCCCCAUAGGAUACUUCAAUAAUUUUAAAUUAUUAAAAGCCAUAAUUAUUGUAACCAUUUUUCUACUGUCAUCAAUUUUCGUCACGGUUUCGUCUGCCAUUCAUAUAUAGCAGCAAUUUAAUGGUUGUACAACGUUUCUCAUUUAUUUCUUCAUAAAUUCUUCAUUAUUUUAUAACGACUAUAUAAUAACAUUUUUUGCCUAUAAAUUAUUACUCUGAACAUAUUUAUAAAGUAAUGUGGAUAUUAUCAAAACAUAUUCUUGUUUACAUAUCUUUAUUUCUCUUUUUUAUUAGGUUAUACAUGUUCUUUCUAAUAUUUAAUCUGGAAUAUAGAAUGCCUAUUGCAUAUUGAGAUGAUAAUCGCUAGAGGCUAUCGCAUAGAGUUUCGUACUCCAAGGAGGAAUUUUCUAUCAAGAUUCCUUUUCAAAUUCGCUUUACCAUCUAUCUAUUUAAUUACCAAUUUCAUUUUAAAGAUAAAGUGUGGACAGCCUUGUGGCUUCCUCAUCCUCUACUUAAGCCGCCUAAGUUGCCUUUCACAACCACCGCCACCGCCACCACCAUCGCCACCGUCACCGCCGUCAUCACCAUCGGUGGUGCUCAUUUCGCACCAAGGGUGGUGUUCAUUUUGCUAUGGACAGAGAAAGGGAGAGGGAGGAUAGUGGAAGACCAAUUUUGACCUUUGUAGUGAAGAAGUUGCUAUGGGACAAUGCACCAGGAAUCACGAAACGGGCUUGUGAUUUGGGCUUAACAAAUGACGGGCCGAUUAGGAACGAUAAGGCCCAAGUAAAUGGUGCUUGCUUUUGCAUACUAAAGGUUCUCAUUAGUAAGGGUUCAUCAUUUGCCUGAUCGGCCUUUUAUGAUAACUUGAGUAUUGGAUGUGAAGUCAUUUACAACUACAUGAUGAAAUGAUAGACAUUUGUGGGAUCGUGUAUAUAAAACUUCUUAAGUGCAUUCAUUGCUUAAUUAUCAUCGGCUGUUAAGAAUAUUGUAGUUCACAAUUUCACACAAUUAAUAUGUAGAAUGAAAAGUUGAUACAUCCUGAUUAACAAUGCACCAAAGACAAAAUUCAAGGAUCAACUUAAUCUUGAACUUGAGAUAUUAAAGUUCAAAACUAAAGUCACAAUUGAAAUUUCAAUACUUUUCUUUUCCUAAUGGUACAUUCAAUGCAUGUAGUUUUUUAAAUGCUUAAACAUGGAACAAUAUAUUCAUCUAAUGGCUUAAAUUUUUAACGGUAAAAGCCAAUAAAAACCCCAAAUUUUGUCCACUUUGGCAUAUUUACCCCAAACUUUUUUUUUGACAUAAAAAAUUCCACAUUUGUACCCAUACAACACAUUUAAACCCCAAACACGUUUUUUGUUACACCUAAAACCCCAAGCUUUUUUUGGUGACACAAAAAAAAAAAAACCCAAAUUUUUAUUUGUGUGACAUAAUUAUCCCAAAAAUUUGGUGUCAUAGAAAAAAGUUUAGGCUUUUAAUGUCCUAAUUUUUUUUUUUUGAGUAAAUGCGUCACACGGGUAAAAGUUUUAAAUUUUUGAUGUCACAAAAAAAAUUGAGAUAAAUGUGGGGAAAAUUAUCUAAAAAGUCUUAAACCUAUUACACUUUUGCUAAUUCAAUCUUAAAUCUUUUAACUUUGCCAAUUCAGUUCUAAAUUUUUUCACUUCUUAUCAAUCGAGUCUAUCCGACCAAUUUUAGCCAGAAAAUGCCGAUGUAGAGGCUGCCGGUGCCAUGUAGGAUCAUUGGUGCUGACAUUGACAAUUUUUAAUAACAUUUAAUAUUUUUUUGAAUUUUUAUUUUUUGAAUUUUUUCCUUUUUUUUUCUUUUAUUUCUUUUCUUUUUGGCUUUCUUCUUUGCCUUUUAUGGUAGCCGAUGGCCGGUUGUCCCCUAUGGCCAGCCAGCCAUCAGAAAAAGGCAAAGAAGAAAGCCAAAAAUAAAAUAAAAUAAGAAAAAAAUAAAAAAAGGGAAAAAAAUAUAAAAUAAAAUAAAAUAUUUUUAAAAAUUAUCCACGUCAGCGUCGGCAGUCCUACGUGGCACCACCGGCGUGCACGUCAGUAUUUUCCCGCCAAAAUUGGUUGGAUGAAUUCAAUUGGCAAGAUGUGAAAAUGUUUAGGACUGAAUUGGCAAAGUUAAAAAGUUUAUGAUUUAAUUGGAUAAGUUUAAGAUUUUUUGGACAAUUUUCCCGAUAAACGUGUCACGGUGGGAAAAUUUUGAGAUUUUUUGUCACAAAAAAGUUAUGAUAAAUGUGUCAUUCAGGGCAAAAUUUGGGAGUUUUUUUUAAUGACUUUUUUCCAAUUUUCAAUAGGGUUGGCAAUGAUCUCACUGAGUACCAUGGUAUUUCCUGUUGUAUGUUAAAUCAACAUUCUUAUAAAUAUAUUUUCCUCAUGAUAUCAAUUUAAGGUGUUACAUAUUCAUUUGAACUUUGAAGAGGUUAAUUGAGUGUUAUAUUCCAAAUUCCUACAUUUGCAUCACAACUUAAUUUACUUGGAUGAAUUUUGGAGAUUGAGACCAUUGCCCUAUGAAUGAAACCAUAUGUCAUUUCAUGGAUGAAGAGAUUGCUGUUGAGACUUGUAUUCACUUAUGAAAAUUGGGAUAAGUGUACCGGGAAUUAUAAAAGUUGUUACUAAAGUGUAAUCGAGUCUUAAAAUUUUCAAAUAAUGCAAUCAAGUUUUAAAAUUUAUCAACUUUGUGCAAUUAAGUCAUUCAAUUAAGUCCAUCCAACUUGUCAAAUAGAAAAAUAUUAUCAAGUUUUAGGAUUUGAUUUGAUGAUAAGUUCUAGAACGCGAUUGCAUCAAUUUGACAAAUUUUAUGAUUUGAUUGUACUAUUUGAAAAAUUUUAGAACUGAAUUAUACUUUCGUAAUAAGUAUUAAAACUUCAUAAAAUACUUGUUUCAUGAAAUUUGUGGAGCCGGAGGAGUCUCUUGCCAUGAAACCUGUUCAUCUGUACACAUUCACUUUUUCACAACAGAAAUGUUGGCUUAGAAAGGAAAAAAAGUCAACUUCGACAAGACGAAGCGAUGCAACUUGUGAAAAGAAACAAAAUCCUUGGAAAUUAAUAAUGGGUUUUGGAGACCAUGCUAGCACGAUUUCGCUACGGUUUCGCUGCCCAUUUCUUCUCCAGCAGCUCAUCUAAGACCGAAAUUAAUAAUGGAUUUUGGAGACCAUGCUAGCACGACUAAAUAGGUCCAAGUUUUGGCAAAAACAGCCAAAAAAUUGGCACAAAUCAAACAAAAUUCCCUUAACGCAAACCCUUAACCACCGUAAUUUUUGCUGCCUGAUUAGCCUCCAACGAAUACCGAUAUUCCGAAAUAACUCAUGGUUACUCUUCCUCAUGGCAGUGCGACUGCACCGGCCGAAGUGAAGCGGUGGGUGGCCAGAAUUUGCCAGGAAUCAACGAUUUUCCUCUUGACCCCAAUAUGGCCGAAUUACUGUUCAUAUUCAAAAGGCCUGAAAAAAUACACCAACAAUUGACAAAAACAAGGUAGAGGCACUAAAAUUACUUUGAUACCAAAUGUUAGACAUAACAAUCAAUUAUGGAAAAACAAGAUCAAAGUAAAACAGACCUUCCAGCCAUUGUUUUUUUUUGGUAAAGGACCUCCAGCCAUUGUUUGUAUUGUGUUUAUUAGAAAUUCACAGAGAUUCAACGAAAUUACAGGCAUACUCUAUUAACCCAGUCCCUUGACAUACUGAUGGGGUAUUGCAAAGUGAGAGUUUGCAUUAGACCCCGUGAUUACUCUUAAAAAAUGAACGAUUGUUUCUUUUAUAUAUCAUCUCCCAUUAAAACAAUUAUCAAAUAGAUGGUUGUUACAAAAAUGUGUGAAGUGUGGAAAAACUGCAUGUGAAAUAACCGCUACUUUAAAAAGAAAAUGUGGGUGUGAAAAUAAAGGAUCACAUUAUACAUAUCCUUGACCCAACACUCGGCUUUCGAUCUUGGAAGGGAUACUACCCCAGCCGGCCUUUCGGCCUACCACCCUUCGUAGGGCAAACUUGACUUUUCAAUCCCACGCGCCAACUCGUGCAUGGACUCUUUGACUGAGAGCCACCUCGGUGCCGAGAGCUACAUAGAAUACCGACUUCUCUUCCCUAUCAUCCAAUCAUUGCUUUAGCUCGCUCCAUCUUCCGUCUCCUUCGUGGCAUCUUUUAAUCUGGGGUGGCAAAAGCCCCACCGGAACCACAUGACUCGUGUAUAGCUUCUUGAGUGGACUCAAUGGCUCGGCCUCAAACUCGCUGCAGACCCUCACGGCAACGAUAUCGCGACCCUGUAUCAACCUACCUGACCUUUCCAAAACGGACGUGUCAGUGUCAGAGUCCACGAAAUCCUCUUCAUUAAUCACCUCAUGAAGCCUGUAUGCGACUUUGGUGGGGUAAGUAACCCACUCAGGGACGACUAUCAAGUCCUUCGCCGUCUUGGCCCUGGCCUGACCGUCGAUCAAAAAAGAUGGCAGGCCGGCGAAGACGAGGGUGUUAGCAUUGUAUAUGCUGAAGAACGCCGAUAUAACACCCAGUCAUCUUGCCUUUUAAAGUAACCAGAAAGAUAUGAAGUCUUGGAUCACCCAAUCGACAUUCGAGCUCGCAAGAAACUCGGCCACAGCAAGCUUGAGCAUGUUGUAUGCCUUCUUAAGGUAAGGCAUCAUGUUAUGCAGCAACUCGGAGGUCGACUUAGCUGAGUCGGGGAGGCCAUGGACGCGGGGCAAGGGAACCUCGACAAGGGUUAUGGAGAGAGGGAGGUUUCCGGGGAGCUUCUAGAGGUUUUUCGGGGUGGAGAUGAAGGAGACGCGAUGGCCCUUUCGAGCUAAGAAGGUGGCGACCUCGAGGAAGGGCAUGAGGUGGCCGUAAGCGAGCCAUGGGAACGUUGCAACGUGGAGCUUCUCUUUGUUUUCCGUGGCGGUGUGUGGAAGGAAGACGAAGUGGAAAGGGAGAGUUUAAAAGAGAAACCAGCUUACGGUGGAGCGUGCACGUGCCUCUACUCGGUUCACUUGAUCCAAAGGAUAAGGUCAGGCAUGAUGCCGGAAGAGAAUGAGAUUAGUUAACUUCGCUACACACGUGCGAUUUUGCAAGUAAAUGGCAUUCUAACAUCGGGGCGAGUGUUUCUCAUGCGCAAAAGAAGAAAGCAAAAGUUUUAGUUUUCCUUGGAAAUGUCUCAUUAAAUCUCGUUAAUUUGCUGAUCGGCCGAAAGAAGGGGUUAACCACUGGGGGUUCGCCCCAGUGGCCACCCUUCCAACAUAGAAGGGGGAGGUGAAGGGUUCAAAUCCCCACCUCCUCAGGAGGGGAUGGGGAUAGGGACGCGUAAGUUUGAGAGUGGGUUGCGACUCCCACGCCCUGCAAAAGGCAGGGCACAAGUCCGCAAGUGAGUGUAGAGUAGGAAUAGAGUAGGAUUGACCAAAAAAAAAAAAAAAGGGGUUGAUUUCGUGAUAACUUGAAUGUCUUAAAAAUAAGAACUCAGCUCUCUAGGAAUAUCAUGUUAGAAAUUAAACCAAAUUCAGCAUCUACAUUAAAGAAAAGUCAUAAUUACAGCAUUAUCUUUAAUAAGUCUAUUUGAAUUUGUAUUUCUCGAUGUAGUGAUUGUUUUUAGAGAGUGAUUGUUUUUAAAGAUACGAUGAGAUAUGAUGAUUAUUUUGUUAGUUUCCAGAUCUUGUCUAGAAUGUUUUCUAGAUCUUAUCCGGAAUGCUAACUUUAUCCAUUAGGAAGAGCAAAGAUUAUGUAACAAGUCUAUAAAUAGGGGAGUAUUAUAAUUGUAUUUUGUUAAGGUGAAAGAAAUCUACAAACCUAUCUAUCUUCUUCUCUUCCUUAUGUAAGUUGUGAGUGUUUCACCUUCAAAUUACUCCCAUCAUAUCGAUUGAUGUCCUAACAUGAGUAGUUUGAAAAUGCCUCGGUCUUUAGAUAUUUGAGCCGGUCUCUUGAUAUUCAUCUUCAAAGCAAAGCUUGCACCAAAAUCAAUUAUCGGAAAUACAAUGAUAUCCCCAAUAGGACGGAUAGAUCAGCACAUAGAUCAUUGCUGGAUAUUAAAAUGGGGACCGAUUAAUUAAAGAGUUAAUUUAGGGCGUGUCGUAUCAACAUGUAAUCGAAUCGAUUUUGAUGGACUUGGUGCUGCCCCUUAAUAAUAACAAUAAUUGAGCAUGGCGUCUCAAAUGAAUUUGGCCGAUUCUGGGACCACGAGUUCAACAACUCAAGGCUCUGCCUUUUCAAGUGCCCGAGCGAACUCUUCCAAAUAUUCGAAUUGCAACUUCACAUUUUCAAAUAUCUCCCUCAUGGCCCAUGCUCUCGCCCUCGGCUUCUCUCCCUCCGACUCCACCAUGACUCGCCUUAUCAUCCUGGCUACCGAGUUGCUCGUGAACGACCCGUCGAGCUUGUCCCUCAGCACUUCGAACCCGAGCCCUCUCUCUUCGAGCAGCUUCACCAUAAACCUUGAUCAGAAUUCGCCCCGUAAAAUAGAACCAAUGGCCAGCCUCGCCUGAGUACCUUAGGCUGCGUUUGUUUUCGUUUCUUUUUUCUGUUUUUAAACAACUUUUUUAUUUUUUUGUUCCUGGGAACAAAAAAGGAACAAAAACGCGUUUGUUUGCAUUUUUGUUCCAAAACUAUUUUUUUGUUCCCAGAAACACAUUUGGAACAUAAACAAGAAACAAAAAAAAAAUUGUUUCUUAUUUCUGGAACAAAAUUUAGAAACACUUCUCUCUUUUUUCUUCUUCUUUUUUCUUUCCGUUGAAGGUUGGCGACGCCGUCGAGGGCCGACGACCUCGCCGGAGCAUCGCCGGCCCCUGGUGAGGCCGCCGGCCCUCGUCGGCUGGUCGCCAGCCAUGGCUGAGGCCAGCGACCGGCCAAAAAAAGAAAAAAGAAAGAAAGGAAAAAUAAAUAAGAAAAUAAGAAAAAAAAUAGAAAAAAUAAAAUAAAAAUAUUAAAAAAUUAUACAAAUUUACCAAACAUGUUUCUAUUCAUUUUUUAUUUCCGGAACAAGUUUACCAAACGCAUUUUUUUGUUCAAAAAUUGUUCCCCGGAACAGAAACACUUUUUUUCUAUUUCUGUUUCCUAGAACAAUUUUUAAACAGAAACGUUACGAAACGUACCCUUAAUGACCGAGCUCCAGCCGUAGUGGGUCAAGAACACUCCGAUCCCCACGUGAGCGAGAAUUUCGGCCUGAGGUGCCCAACCCAUCCACAAAUAACCUCGGCCCGAAACCUAACUUUUGAACCCGGGAGGUAUAAUCUCCAGGCCGGGCCUUUGGACCACCACCCAAACGAAGGGUAAACCCAACUUCUCUGUCCCUGCCGCGAGCUCCGGCAUCAUCUCCCGGCAGAUGUUAACCUCGGUGCCAAGCCUGACCCAUCUAUCGUCUCCGCUGCCGCAUUUGAGGCGGGGUGGCAAUAAGCCCACCGGGACCACGGGUUUUCCGUAAAGCUCUGGAGUAGCCUCGGCGGAUCAGCCUCGAACUAGCCACAGCUCCUCAUGGCCAUGAGCUUGGAACCCCGAAUCAACUCUGAUCCUCUGAAAAUCUGGAACUCCGGUGUCCAUGCAAUCCUGGUGAAUGACCAUCUCGUGGAGCCUGAACCUGACCCUGGACGAGUAAUCUAUCCACUCAGGAACAACGGUCAAGUCCUCCGGCCUUUGGCUUGGGCCAUCGAUCAAGACGGAAGGUGGUCUGUGGAAAGCACAAGUAGUAAAACUGAAUACACUAAAGAAUGCUGAGUUCACAUCUAAUGGGCCUGCAACUAUUUGAGAAAACAAUGAAACUUUAUGCCAUUAUUUAGAAUUUUUCCUGACAUAUCAAAGUUCAGAUCAAAGUCAUGAUUUUGACUUAAAAAAAAAAAAACCAAAGUCAUAAUUGCAAUUUUGACACUUUUUUUUUCCUGGCAUUACGUCUAAUCCAUGUGGGUUUUAAAAUGCCUAAACACUAAUCCCAUGUUCAUCCAAUGACUUGAUUUCUUAAAACAAUCGAUAGUAAUUGUACUGAAUUAUACCGUGAUUUUUUAUAUUGUAUGUUAAAUCGACAUUCUUGUAUUAUAUAUGUUCAUGCAAAAUAUCAUAAAUUGAGGUGUUGGACAUUCAUUUGAACUUUUAAGAGAACGUGUAAGUGCUUUAUUCUAAAUGCAACACUCACAGCUUAAUUUAUUUGGAUGAAUCUCGGGAUCGGGACCAUCGCCCUAUGGAUGGAAAUCAUAUGUCGUUUUGUGGAACAAGAGGUGUGAAUCUCUUGCUAAGCUAAUUCCAAAUAAUAAUAAUAAUAAUAAUAAUAAUUUUAAGUCGAGUGACAAUUCUAACCUUAAUAUUUUUUUUUGUCUCGUAAAAAUCACAAACUUUUACCUUGUCCCAAAUCUUACUCCCAUCAUUAACUUUCUAUCUGAAGCAAUCUUGUUUCAAAAAAAAAAAAAAAAGUUCUAGUCUUGAGUUUGGUGAAUCAUGUCAACGGUGUCUCUUGACGGGUGGUGGCCUAUAGAUUACAGAUUACAACAAAAUGGCGAAAUCUAGCUAGAGAAAUUCAAUUUGGGGGUCUUUUUGACUUGCCGAUGAAGUGUCAGAGACCAUAAAGGUGAAGUGUAAGAGAAUGAAUAACUUCUCCAAGUUGUGGUUCCAAGAAGAAGACAAUAAAUGGUGCUUUAAAUCCAACCAGCAAGUGGAUAUGGAUUUAUUGCCAAGGACAAUCAAUGGUUCUAAAUUAAGGAAUCAGAUUUGGCAUUUAAGUGAAAAUUAGUAAUUUUUUUCAAAACAAAAAAAAAAUUAAGGUCAAAAUUGUCACUCGACCAAAAAUUAAUUUUUUUUUAUUAGGCCAACUGUUACCAUGAAAACUUUUAUUAGCAAUUUACUUUUAAACUCCAGAAGUGUUGAUUAAAAAGGAGAAAAAAAAAAAAGUUGACUUGGACAAGAUAAAGCUAUUCAACUUGCAAAAUAUAAAAUCUUUGAAAAUCCCAUUCAUAGCAAGAUCAGAUCACAAUACCCAAGAUGGGAUGGGCGGAAAUUCCGGCUAGCAAUAAAAUAACUACACGAUUCUGAUCCACAGAGCGUUCAGUUCCUCGCCGCCUACCAGGUGUGCCCCCCCCCCACCCCCCCCCAAAAAAAAAAAACCUCAUAAAUUUCGAUAAAAUUACAUAAAUAAUUAUUGAGUUUUGAUUCAAAAUACAAUGUUUUUUGUUUAAUUUAUUCGAUAUAAUUUUUUAAAUUUAAAUUUAAUGUGUAAUUUAUUCAAUGGGACUUGAACUUUUGAUAAAUGCUAAAUCUUGAACAAAUUUAAAUUUUAAGGAUAAUAUUAAACAUUGAGUCAAAAUUCUUUAAUCAUUUUUUUUUACAUUUUCCCUUUUACGACGUAUGCACUCUUGCAUCAAUGCUUUUGAUAAAUGUCAAGUAGGAUUUCUAUAAUAUCCAUUAUUCGUAAUUCAUUCAAAUUAUUGAUAGUGUAAAAAUUGUAUAGAACCUGAUGUGUUUUACUUGCGGGGCUCAACAUGCAUCUCUGAAAUUGGAUUCAUGAAGCAUCGAUGAUUGAGAAAAUAUUUUUUUUAACUUAAAAACAAUCUUUGCAUCGUUUAAGAAAGUGGGUUAGCGAAAAAUAUCUUCUUUGUUAAUAAAAAAUCUUCAAGUAUAGAUGCAAAUAUUUUUUAUUAACUAAUAUUUUUGCGCAGUAGAAAUUGUCUUUCUUUUAAGGAAAUAUUCCUCAAAUCAUGUAACUUGUCGCGUAAGACAAUAGGUUUAAUCUAAUUGAGCGAGCCUACUCCACAUUUGCUAGCAAGGAAAAAAAAAAAAAAGACAAACAAAUGGUUGGGUUCAUAGCGGUGCAAUGAACUCACUCUGCUACAUUUUAGUAGAAUAAUAGUUCAAGAAUGCCCGGUCUAGAUAUCAAAUUGCACCAAAAACAAUAAAAGCUUCACUGCAAAUUGUGGCCCAAAUUCAUCAACUCGUCUGCCAUCAUGAUCGGGACAGCUGCUAUAUUUACACCCGAAUUAGGAUGGUCGUUGAGAGUCGGGAGGUGUUCGGUGUGAAAACGGAAGGGCAUGCGCUGCCCGAAUAAAGCAGGAACUUAGAUGGACCCAGCAUUUACUACUUAGUGAUGUACAAUCGCAACCAGGACAAAAAAAGCACACUCAUACAGAAAAUUCUAGGUCGACGUAAUCAUCUCAUCAACUUGUGGCUCUGCCCUCUUCAAGCACUUGAGCGAACUCCUCUAGAUACUUGUGCUGCAGCUCCACAUUGCCGAAUAUCUCCCUCAUGGCCCAUGCGUUUGCCCUCACCUCCUCUCCCUCCGGCUCCACCAUGACCCGUCUUAUCGUCUUGGCUACUGAGUCGCCCAUGAACGACCCGUCUCGAUCAUUUCUUGGUACCUCUGACCCGACCCGCCUCUCGUCCAUCAGCCUUGCCACAAGUCCUUGGUCCGAGCUCCCCCCGGAAAACACGAUUAGCGCCCGACCCUGCCCGAGGGCCUCUAUGACUGAGCUCCACCCACAAUGCGUCAAGAACCCGCCGACCGACGGGUGGGCCAGGAUGUCCAGCUGAGGAGCCCAACCCACCCAGACGAAGCCUCGACCCAACACCCGGCUUUCGAAACCGGAGGGGAUACUGCCGGGGCCGGCCUUUCGGCCUACCACCCAGACGAAGGGCAAACCUGACUUUUCAAUUCCACAUGCCAACUGGUGCAUUAACUCUUGACUCAAAGCCACCUCAGUGCCGAGGGCGAUGUAGAACACCGACUUCUCUUCCCUGUCAUCCAACCAUUGCUUUAGCUCACUCCACCUCCCGUCUCCUUCGUGCCGGCUUUUAUUCUGGGGCGGCAAAAGCCCCAUCGGAACCACGGCUCUUCCGUAAAGCUUCUUAAGUAGACUCAAUGGCUCGGCCUCGAACUCACUACAGGUUCUUGUGGCCACGAUUUCACAACCCUGUAUCAACCUGCCAACCCUUUGUAAAACGGACAUGUUAGCGUCAGAGUCCACCAUAUCCUCUUCGUUAAUCACCUCGUGAAGCCUAAACGCGACUUUAGUGGGGUAAGUAACCCACGGGGGAACGACCGUCAAGUCCUCUGCCGCCUUGGCUCGGGCCCGACUGUCGAUCAAAAGGGAUGGCGGGCCGCAGAAGACGAGGGUGGUAGCACUAAAUAUGCUGAAGAACGCCGAUUUAACACCCAGUCGUCUCGCCUUUUGGGGUAACCAGAAAGACAUGAAGUCUUGGAUCACCCAGUCGACGUCUGAGUUCGCAAGGAACUCGGCAACAGCUGGCUCGAGCAUGUCGUAUGCCUUCUUAAGGUAAGGGACCAUGUUAUGCAGCAGCUCGGAGGUCGACUCGGCAGAGUCGGGGAGGCCAUGGACGCGAGGCAAGGGAAGCUCGACGAGGGUUAUCGAGGGAGGGAGGUUCGCGGGGAGCUUUUGGAGGUUUUUCGGGGUGGAGAUGAAGGAGAUGCGAUGACCCUUUUGAGCUAAGAAGGUGGCGACCUCGAGGAAGGGCAUGAGGUGGCCGUAAGCGAGCCAUGGGAACAUCGCAACGUGGAGCUUCUCUUUGUUUUCCAUGGCAGUGUGUGGAAGGAAGACGAAGUGGAGAGAGACUUUAAAAGAGAAACCGGCUAUCGGUGGAGCGCGCACGUGCCUCUACUAGGCGCACGUACCGGGAG
This 51625-nucleotide long non-coding RNA is filed under the name Eucalyptus grandis. RNAcentral describes it as "long non-coding RNA (EGRA_LNC001330)". Lineage: Eukaryota; Viridiplantae; Streptophyta; Magnoliopsida; Myrtales; Myrtaceae. The record is from RNAcentral.